This 49562-nucleotide long non-coding RNA is filed under the name Gossypium barbadense (sea-island cotton). RNAcentral's name for it is "long non-coding RNA (GBAR_LNC007789)". The record is from RNAcentral. Lineage: Eukaryota; Viridiplantae; Streptophyta; Magnoliopsida; Malvales; Malvaceae.
UUUUUUUUUAUUUUUAAAAAAAAACUUAUUAAUAUAUCUUAUAUAUAUACAUAGAAUACAAAUAAAAAUAAAAUAUUUAUGAAUAUAUGCGUAGUUUCGAAAGAAAAGAAAAAAGAAAAAAGAAAAAUCAACAACCUUUCGUGUUUGCUAUUUGCUGUCUUCUUUAUGUGCUUGAAUCUGGUGUUUUGAUAUUGCGAAGAUCGAUUUUGUACUCUAGAAAUUUACUGUUUGUAUUGAUGAAAGAAAAAUCCGAAUAGAUUCAGCCCCCCAUUUUUACAAUAUUUUGUUUAGCUUUUUAUAGCCAUUUUACAUCAAUUUUUUUCAAUAUUUGCUGUCUUUUCUUUCUUUGAUUUUACAGGUGCAAGUGGUGGUGGAGCAGGUGGCGGUGGGUGGUGGUGGCAGAGUCGUCAGAGGCAAGUGGGGAGAGGGUGGCUAGGGUUUCAGCUUUUUCUGAAACCCUAAGUCUAGAGUUAGGUUAGAAAUUGGGUCUCUUAGGUUUGGGCUAGGGUUUAAUUUUGGGUUUGGGUAGUUGGGUUUAGGUUAUUUAUUUGGGCUUCUGUUGGGUUUUGAUGUAAAUGGGUUUAAGUGGGUCUGAUGGGUUAAGGGUUUUGGGUUGAUUUGAUUCAAUUUGGGUUUGGGGUUUGGUGGGUCAAAAUUGGCCUGUAACAGCUGCCCCUCUUUGCUCAUUGUCGUGUAACGAGAAUAGAGCAUAGACACAAAGAAAGGCCAAUUUUGCCCGGCCUUGCCGAGUCUUGACUUCUUUGGUGCUCUUCUUGUUCAAGUAGUCUCUUUCUAGUCCAUCGUAUCCUGUAGCUUUGGUUCAAUCCAUUGUAUCUUCUGAUAUAUGCCUUGUAGCUUCAAUCUGCUCGCAUCUUCAGGGGUAUGAGGUUCCUAGCUUCGAUCUGCUUCACUGUAACUUCAAAAAGAUGAGAUCUACAGCUUCAAUCUGCUCUUCUACCACUUCAGUGAGAUAAGGUUUGUGGUCUUCUCUUCUGCAACUUUAGAAAGGCAAGAUCUGAUAUCCUCGAUCAACUCCACUACAAUUUCAGGGAGACAAAAUCUGGUGUCUUCAAUCAGCUCCAAUCUUUAUUCUUUACUCGGCAUGUGAUCCUGAGCUCAACUCACUUCUCGCAAUAUGAGUUGUCUCUUUAAAAAAGACAUUAAAAACAAAAAUUGAAAAUACAUCAGCGUGUCUUGAGGCUCAACUCACCUCUCGCAAUAUGAGUUGAUUUUUUUGAAAAGUAGAAUUUGAAAAGCAGAAAUUGAAAAUACCUCAGCGUGCCCUGAGGCUCAACUCACCUCUCAAAAUAUGAGUUGAUUUUUUUUUUGAAAAGUAGAAAUUGAAAAACAGAAAUUGAAAAUAUCUCGGCGUGUGACCUGAGCUCAACUCACUUCUCGCAAUACGAGUUGACUUUUUUUUAAAAAAAAUAGGAAUUGAAAAUACCUCAGCGUGUGACCUGAGGCUCAACUCACCUCUCGCAAUAUGAGUUGAUUUUUGAAACAUAAAUUGAAAAUACCUCGGCAUGUGACCCGAGGAUCAACUCACCUCUCGCAAUAUGAGUUGAUUUUUGAAAAGCAUAAAUUGAAAAAUGGAAAUUGAAAAUACCUCAGCGUGUCCUGAGGCUCAACUCACCUCUCGCAAUAUGAGUUGAUUUUUGAAACAUAAAUUGAAAAUACCUCGGCAUGUGAUUCGAGGCUCAACUCGCCUCUCGCAAUACGAGUUAAUUUUUGACAAAUAGAAAUUGAAAUUACCUCAGCGUGUCCUGAGGCUCAACUCACUUCUCGCAAUAUGAGUUGAUUUUCUUUGAAACAUAAAUUGAAAAAUACCUCAGCGUGUCCUAAGGCUCAACUCACCUCUCGCAAUAUGAGUCGAUUUUUGAAAAACAAAAAUUGAAAAUACCUCAGCGUGUCCUGAGGCUCAACUCACCUCUCACAAUAUGAGUUGAUUUUUUGAAACAUAAAUUAAAAAACAAAAACUGAACAUACCUCAGUGUGCCCUGAGGCUCAACUCACCUCUCGCAAUAUGGUCGAUUUUUGAAAAACAGAAAUUGAAAAAACCUCGGUGUGUCCUAAGGCUCAACUCACCUCUUGCAAUAUGAGUUGAUUUUUGAAACAGAAAUAAAAAUAUCAGAAUACCAAAACAAAUCAUCUGGUGGAACUCAAGUGUCUCUUCCUUGAUCCAGUAUAACUAUCAUUCAAAAUUUCUUACUCUGCUGGAGUACCUGUAUAUGUCAUGCAUGAUGUUAUCAUGAAAUGCACAUGUUUGCCUUGAAUACCUUUAUGCCUAUAUGAUUAUGCUAUGCGCAUUGGGCUUGUUUGUCAUAUGUCCCUUUUCGUCAGGAUUUUUUAUGAUCUGCGUUCAUUGCUUCGACUCUUGACUUUCUCUUCAGUACCCAUUCUCUACUUUAUGAGUAACCUGCGUUUAUCAGAUAUCACUCUUUUGCCCCCUGUUGAACUUUGUCCUUGCUUUGAGGCUCUUUAUCAAAUUCUCAUCCGGGUAAUACUCAACAUUUGUUUUGUUUAGAGUAUGUCAUUUUAGAAUGUUCUAGAUGUUCAACGCAUGAACUCUUCCACAUUUCUUAAUCAAUAAUCUUUUCGAGCAUGGCUUCUUGCUUAGAAAGUUUCGGACUACAGAAAAUGCUUCAAAUACUGUAGUCUUGCUGUUUGCCUCACUUCUUGAAUCUUUUUACUCCUUGGGCCCAAACCUGCUUCAUUAGGACGCCCUUUCGGGUUUUCAUUCUAAUUUUUGUUUAUCAAGACGCCCUUUUCAGGUUUUCAUCUUGAUCUUCUUCUUCUUCUUCUUCUUCUUCUUCUUCUUCUUUUAAGGCGUCAUCACUCAUUGCCCAUCAGGGCUCUAUUACUGACGUAGUACGCUGCCCUAUUGCUCGGUUAGUAUUUCGACCCAAAAUCUAAGGAAAUAACCGCGUUUUGCUCAACCAGCUUACCCCACCGUAACUUUAGGGUCCAUUCCACUAUAAUUUGGGGAUACAAGGUUGGUACUAUCUUUAAACCAUUCCAUCGCAAUUCCCGGCUAUAUGAUUUGUAUUAACUUUCAUCCAUCCCACUGUAACUCAAAGGUAUAGGAUCUGUAAUUUGUUCCAUCAACUGACCAUUCCCCGGGUGACCUUAUCAGAUGUUUAUGCGUGAUAUUUGCAUGGAUGCAGAAUGUCAUUUUUUUUAGAAUGAUCCAUUUUUAUGCGUAGAUUGACUAUGCUUGUUUUCAUCGAGAUUAUAUCACUGACGCGAUAUCUUGUUUCUGUUCAGCUAAUAUUUUUGACAGAAAAUCUGAAGAGAUAAAUUCGAUUUAAGCUUAAAUAUUUCCAACUCUUACACUUGGUGAGCUCUUAAACAACAGUCGUGUUUCAGGUUCCUGUACUAUUUAGAAGCUUUCAGAGUAAUUGUAACACCCCCUACCCGUAUUCAUUGCCGGAAUAUGGUACGAGGCAUUACCGGAGUUUACUGAACAUUUUCAGAUAAUUUUGAGUCAUUUAUUAUUCAUAUUUUGAAAUAAUCAUAACGUCUCUCUAUUAGGCUCUCGAAGCCCAAAACAUACAUUAGAAACCAACUGGAAUAAAAUCGAGAUCAUAAAAAUUUUCGCAAAAUCUUAAAUUAUAUUUUCAUCUAAGUACUUACCAUUUCAACGCUCCUUAUAAUUAAACAUGUUACCAUUCAAUCAAUAGCUUGGCACUUGUCUAAGCGUCAAACAACAACAUUAUUAGUAUACUUGCACAUAUUUCAUAUAAAUUCAACAUUGAUAUACCUAUUUUCUCAACAUAUCACACUUGAAUUUAAUAAUAGUCUCAACUUACAUAAUUUCCUUAUAUCAACAUAUCAAAGAUAAUUAUAUAUGUACAUGUCACAAAAUAUAUUAUUCUCUUACUGUUUCUUCAUAAGCAUAUAUCAUUCAUUUCGUUAUGUCAAUAUUUCAUGCACCAUCAUUUCCUUAUAUCUUGUAUAUAUUUAUUUCGGUAAUAGUUCGUAUUAAACUUAACAUAAAUUAAAUUCCAUGUACCCAUACUUAUUUCAUUUAUCUAUCUUCUUAAUUAUUUCAUACAACUAUUUUGUACAUAUAUUUCCAUAUGACCAAUUCCUGUAAACAUUUCACACAACCAUUUCAUAUAACCAUUCCAUCUUAUACAUAUUACCUGAAUAUCGAUUGUUCAAUAGAUAUCUUGGCGUUUCUCUUCCUCGAUCGUAUUUAUCUUCGACAUGAUGUCAUAGUAUCUUUCAACUAUGGUUUUACUCAUUUUCUGUCAUGUUGCCAUGGUAUCUUUCAACCAUGGUCUUAUUCAUUUUCCCUUCAUGUUGCCAUGGUAUCUUUCAACCAUGGUCUUACUCAUUUCAUGUCAGGUUGCCAUGGUAUCUUUCAACUAUGGCCUUAUUCAUUUCAUAUCACGUUGCCAUGGUAUCUUUCAACCAUGGUCUUACACAUUUCAUAUCACGUUGCCAUGGUAUCUUUCAACCAUGGUCUUACACAUUUCAUAUCAGGUUGCCAUGGUAUCUUUCAACCAUGGUCUUACACAUUUCAUAUCAGGUUGCCAUGGUAUCUUUCAACCAUGGUCUUACACAUUCCAUAUCACGUUGCCAUGGUAUCUUUCAACCAUGGUCUUACACAUUCCAUAUCACGUUGCCAUGGUAUCUUUCAACCAUGGUCUUACACAUUUCAUAUCAGGUUGCCAUGGUAUCUUUCAACCAUGGUCUUACACAUUCCAUAUCAGAGAGCACACUCCCACGAACAUCAUCCUUACAGUGGGAUUACCAGUCCAAGCUAAAUCCCCUGUAAUAUAAACUCAUAGAGUAUUGUCGGGAUUACCAGCCCAAGCUAAAUCCCCUGCAACGACAAUUACUCUGAUGAGCUUGGAUCUGAAUUACCAAUCCAGGCUAAAUUCAGACCCUAAUUCGGAUUACCCGUCCGGCCUAAAUCCAUUUUCCACAUAUUCUUCGGGAGGGCUAUAUCAGGAUAGGAUCACCCGUCCGGGCUAGAUCCUUUUUACCAUCAAUUCCUUUUCAGAGAUCCAUCGAAUUUUCCUUCCAUUCAACCGUGAUUUUUUUCCUUUUUUUUUUCAAAUAUAUCAAUGUUUCAUAAAUUUCCAUAUAAUGAACAUUCAAAUUAUAUUCAUAUAAAAAAAUGCAUUUCAAGCAUUUAAGAAUAUAAUUCAAGUUACACGAACUUACUUGGCGAAAUUACAGAAAUAUCAAGAUUAAGGGACAUUUUGGUAAUUUACCAUUUUCCCAAUUUUCACCCGAUCUUAAAUUGAAAAUUUCAUUCAAUUUAUUAAUUUAGAUAAUAAAAAAAUUCAUUCCCUUCAAUUUGGUCAUUUUUGACAUUUUUACAAAAUUACGCCCUGAAGUUUUACUUUUAUUCAAUUCAGUCCUUAAACCUAAAACAUGCAAAUUAGCCAUGCUAGCUGGAUAUUCAUAUAUAUUUUCCUCCUCCUCCUCUCCAUUCCACAUCCUUAAUGUAUAUAACACACUUGUAAGUAACAUUAUCUAUAAUCUUUAUUAUUUUCUUUUAUGAAUAUUCAAGCUGUCCAUCUGUGUCAUAGUCACUAAAUUAUUUAUAUCUAGAGCUAUAUAACUCCAAAUUAAGAUCCAAUAAUUUUCCCUGAAAUUACACUCAUAUAUCUUCUUACCAUAAAAUUUUCAGAAUUUUUGGUUUAGCUAAUAAGUACAGUUUAUUCUUUAAAGUUACCCCUGUUUUGCUGUCUAACAGUUUUGACUCUUCUUCACUAAAAAUUAAUUAUAUCCUCGUACAAGAUUCAAAUGAUGUUUUCAUUUGUUUCUAUGGAAAAUAGGCUCAUUAAGUAUUCUAAAAAUAUGAAUUUAAGCCCGUAAUUAUUUUUCUCCAAUUUUUUAUGAUUUUCCAAAGACAAAACAGGGGAACCCGAAAUCAUUCUGACCUUGUCUCAUAAAAUUUAUUAUUUCUCAUGAUUCACAAUUCCAUUUCUUACAUAGUUUCUUUUAUAAGAAACUAGACUCAAUAAGCUUUAAUUUAAUAUUUUAUUCAUCCUCUAAUUCGAUUUAUACAGUUUUUAGUGAUUUUUCAAAGUUACACUACUGCUGUUGUCCAAAACAGUUUUAAUGAAAAAUGUUGAUUUCCAUUUUGCCCCAAAUUUCAAAGUUUAUACAAUUCAGUCCUUGCUCAAUUAACCCCUCAAUUGAGCUAAUUUUUCUCAAUUAACUCUUUAGUCUAUCAUUUUAAACUUCUUCAUAACCCCUAAAAAUCAGAACUUUAGCAUUAGACAUUAAUUCCAAACUCUUUCUUAAUUAGGUCCUAAAAUGAAUUUUCCAUCAAUUUUACUUGAUAAAAUCAUCAUAUACCAAAAGUAAAGCUUCAAUUAUAUGAUUAUUCAUCAUAUUAUUUCAGCACUCAUCCAUAAAAACUUUAAAAAUUAGCCAUGAAAUCAAAAACUAAUGAAAUAGUAAGUUGGACCCAAUUGUAAAAUUCCAAAAACAUAGAAAUUUCAAGGAGAAAGCAAGAAUUAAACUUACAUGAAGCUAGAGCAUGAAAACCAAAUUGAACCACCUUCCAUGGCUAUUUUUCAGCUGAUGAAUAUGAAGAGAAUUCUAGAUUUCCAAUUUAGUCCCAUUUUUAUUUAGCAAAUUUUGACAAUUUUCCAAUUUUGCCCUUAUUUCACCCAUUUCCUGAUUUUUCUCAGCUAUUGCCGCCCAAAAUAUCUCUUUUGGGCUUAUUUUCACUUUAGGUCCUUCCUCAUUUGACAAUUGAGCUAUUUAAUCAUUUUAGCAACUUUUACACAUUUUCCAAUUUAAUCCCUUUUAUUUAAUUGACCACCCAAACGUCAAAAUUUUCUAAUGAAAUUUUAAUACUACCUUAUUGACAUUCCGAAAAUAUUUAUAAAAAUAUUUAUGGCUCGGUUUAUAACAUCAAGAUCUCGAUACUUUUUUUCUCAAUUUCUUGACCAAACAAAUCUUUAUAAAACAUAAUUUACUAUUCCAAAAAUCUUUUAAAAACUACAUUUGGCUCGUAAAUAUUAAAUAAUAUAAUCUACGAGUUCAUUUGUCGGAUUUGAUGGUCUCGAACCAUUAUUUUCGACAUCGUUGAAAUUCAGGCUAUUACAGUAAUAUGCAAAACUCCUUUUAUAAAAGUAUGAUUAGUCCAUUAAUCAUUAUUUCAAUGUGAAAUGCUUGAAAAGGAUCGAACUGAUGGACAAGAAGAAAAUUGAUUAAGAGCAUAGCUUGAAACAAACAAGUUGAACAAUGAGAGUAAAUGCAAGUUUAUUGGAAGCCCAUUUUGAAAAGAAUAAGAUAAUCAAAGAUAAAUUCAGAAAUGGGUAAAAUGGAAAGCUAAGUGCCCCAAAUAUCGCAGCCUGAGCUUCUCUGUACAAACUCCUUUGAAACAAUUUUGAGUUCAGCAUGUGUUUAGGGGAUUCAGAGUACUUUGUCGAUGCCCCAAGACGUACCAUACUUCUUCACUGUCAAUUCAAGUAUAGCAAGACUAUCAUAUGCCCCACCUUUGAACAAAAUUUGAGCCACCUUUUUCAGGUUUACAACUCAAAACCCCUUUGGUCUUAAGGCGCCCUUUACGGAUUUUCACCUUGACCUCUCCAUUUUCUUUUCUUUCUUUUUCUUUCUUUCUUUUUUGCUUUUGAAUGAAUGAAGGUCACAAAGCGCCCUUUGCGGGUUUUCACCUUGGCCUCUCCUUUUUAAGUAUCUCUGGACUGAAUUCGAAUUUAGGAUUGGAUCAGUGUUCUUCCGGGGAAAGCCUCAUUUACUUCAUAAAGUUCUUAAGCAUUCAUUUUCCUUUGAAAUCCUUUUGUAUAGAAAGGAUCUUCUGCAAUACCAAGUUCCUACUAUGAAAUUCCUUUGGGUGAACCAUUUCCGUCAUAACUCAGCACCAUACACGUUUGACUUUCAAACCCUUUUCUGCAGUCAAGUUUACUGAAGACAUUUUAAUUCAUCCAAUUCUUGAUUCAAUCAAAGCUUGGAGAAAAAGAAUCUUAAUUUCCAUGGAUAGAACCACCUCUAAUGCCCUAGUGAAAGUCCUGGUCAACUUUAAUAAGCACAAAGAGUAAAAGGUAGCUUCUUAUGCCAAUAUUUACAAGUCUCGGUCACCUUCCAUAACUUUUCUUUAUUUUUUUAUUUUUCUUUUGGCAGCCUUUGUUGCAUUGUGAUAUGACAUUGUACAGUUACACAUUAAAACAUGAUUCUUUCUGGCAUUUGAUCUCUCUUUUUUAUUUUUUUUUGUUUUUUUUUUCUUUUCAUGACUGUCGACUUUAUGAUAUUGGCAUAUGAAGCAACAUUCACCUUCUUAGUGAAGCAAUUGACAACCAGGACGAUGAUGUCGACUAGAAGCUUUUGACGAGAUCAUCCCCAGAACAUCUAUGCCCCACGUAUUGAAAAGUUUGUGAAGAGAUGGAAGAAGCACAUGAGUCUUGACGACAUAACUGAUUCCAUUCCCUUCCCAUGCUGGACCAACAAUAUCUGAUCCUCAUUGAUUAGCCUGGUUAUUGCAGAACCAUUGUCAUGUGUUCUUUAGACACCCUUAUGGACCUCUUUCAAGAUGUUCCUAAGUGCGUCUUAAUAUGAUCCUGCGAAAACAUCCUUGAAUUCUUGGAAAUAACUCCAUAGUCUUGCCUUAUUUCUGCGGUGAGCUAGGUUUCGAUCUUCAUCUCUUUCCCAAGCUCACAAUGUCAGCUGACCCUUUGUAAGUUAGGGUCUGUCUUUCAUCUCAUUCUGUCAUCCUUCAUGAAUCGGAAGAUAGACACAAUCUCUGUCAUCUUCGAAGUUCUGAGAUCCCUCUAGACACAUAUCUUGCUCCAAAGGGAGUUAGUAACAGCGUCGCUCGUGACAUUGAUAUCUGGGGACCUAGUGUGUGUACGAAGGCAAAUUCCAGAGAAUAAAUGAUUCUAAGGAUGAUUAUUUGUAUAGGAUGAUCAUGAAUGUAAAAUAAAAGAAUGAAAGCCCAAAUAAUAAAAGAAUCUAUAAAUAGAAGAAAAUUUACUCAAAAAGAUGCAUUUCAUUGAAAUAAAAAUUUUGGACCGGAGCUUAUUUCUCAAAAGAAGUCUUAUCACCUCUAGGCUUAAGAUAAUAAGUAUGUUUUGAAUAUUACUCUAGAUUAGCUUUAAAAGUACACGGAUCUCUUCCACUGCCCCAUUGUUCAAAACACUCCCAAGUAUGUGAAGUUUGGAGGUGGGUGAUAUCGAGGACGUGGUUGAGUUGGGUACGAAUUAGAAGUAUAGUGGCUUCAUGUUCCCACCACAUGGGUUUCUGGCUCUUUUUUCUUCAUGAGUGCUGCCCUUUUGAGCUCUCGGUGCCUUCCAUCCUUCCAUUUUUGAUGGCGUUCUCUAUAAGUUCCCCAGAUAUUACGAUAUCCGAAAAAUCCUUCGUAGCACUUCCCACCAGCUUAUCAUAGAAUGGAGCUUUCAACGUGUUGAUGAAAAGGACCGUUAUCUCAGUCUUAGUCAGUGGAGGCUCUACUUGGGCCGAGAUAUCUCUCCAUCUCUGCGCAUACUGUCUAAAAGUUUCAGACGUCUUUUUCUCCAUCAUUUGUAGAGUCAUUCGGUCAGGCACCAUAUCGGAUACGUGUUUGUACUGUUCACAGAAUGCUGACACUAAAUCCUUCUAUGAUAGGAUCUUUUCUCUAUUAAGCUGAUUAUACCAUCGAAGAGCUUAUCCGACUAAAAUAUCCUGAAAGAAGUGUAUGAGGAGCUUAUCUUCAUUCACAUAGCCGGUCAUCUUCCGACAAAACAUGAUGAGAUGCGUUCUUGGACAUCUCGUUCCGUCGUAUUUUUCAAAAUAUGGUGCCUUAAACUUCAGAGGUAGAACCAGAUCGGGCACCAGAUUGAGCUCCUUGGCACUUAAUGCAGAGAAGACUUCAGUGCCUUCGAUUGCCUUGAGCCUUUCUUCCAAACUCCUAUACUUGUCCCAAACAUCAUGAUCGUCUAAUUUCGACUUGGCUAUCUCUACUAGGUCAACCAAAUUUGGAAUAUUGGGAUCAACAGGAUUAACUCUGGGGUUUGAUACAGAUAUACCUUGCCCUGGACGAGUAGGUAGUACAUGUCGUUGCUCCAGGCCUACAGGUUCCCAUUGAGGACAUCCUCUUUGCGUUACAUGAACGUGAGGUGGGGUGAAUCUUGGGGGAUAAAAUGGAUCCUGAUCAUGAUUAACUCUCAACUGAGGUUCCAUAAUGUCAGGAAUCUGCAUAAGUCCCUUCCCUUUAACUAAAGUUGACAUCAUCUCCAUCAUUUUGGCUAUUUGAUCCUUUUGCUCGAGUCAUUCCUCUCGAGAUCUUACCAUCAGAUCUCUCGUUUCCUGCUAUGAUUUAGCCAUUCCAAUUUUCUUUGGGCCCUUUUCAUUCUUUCAAUUCUCUCAUUGAAUUCGGCCUCCAUAGUUCUAGCUCUUAGCCCCGUCUUAUACGAAUGGCGUGAUUCCAGACUCGUAGCGUCACAACUGUAGAUCAUAUGGUUUCAGCCUCAGUGAAUGAUUAAGGGACAUGUACAUACAAUGAAUGGAUGAAUGAAUAAAUGUCAAAUGAAUGUUAGUCAUGAAUGAAUAUGCAAAAAUUUGGUGUUAAUUUCAAGAUAGCCCCUAUUUAGGCAUUUCCUUAAUCAAAAGAGUCUAUUACACAACGUUUCGGUCAUUCGUGUAAUUGACUCCUCCAUCAGAAACCCGUUUUUGGCAACCAAUCUCUAAUCAGCACAUUCCUAACAAGAUGCCUAUGAUGCAUGAUGAAAAAUAGAAAUACAGACAAACAACCUUGGUUAGCACAACACAUAUGAACAGAGAAAAACUGUGGAAAAUCUAACAAAUUAAGCUACUUGGUCCAAUGGACUCGAUUCCCUUGCAUAGAAAGCGUAAAUGUAAAAGAAACAGAAGGUAAGAUGUGUUUUUCCCGUGUACUUAUUUCGGUGACGAGUAAACAGACAAAGGUUAGGCAUGGCUCUAGUUAGGUGGCUUGUACGGUUCACUAUAUGCGGUUUUGGCUCUAGAUAGGUACUCGAAUUGUCCAUACUGUCAUCUACUAAGAUUAGUAUAGAGCCUCGGUCAUUGCCCAUCAUAGGCUUUCGAGUCCAAUUCGAGGGAUUACAUUUACUUACGCCUAUGCGGAGGGACAAGUUAACUCACAAAAGCAUAAGUCAUAUAUAACCCAAAAGUAUUCACUAGCCUGUGCGGAGGGACAAGUUAACUCACGAAGGCAUAGCGUUUACUUUCACUUACACGGACGGAGCCCGGGUAUAAAGCUCAGGUUAUGCAAAAUGCAAGUGUACGGUGUGUGGGGAGAAAGUUGCAAACCUUUUCGCUUUAUUUAAAACUAAAAACUAGAAUCGUAAAAACUUAAAGCUGAAAAACGGAAGAUAAACAAGUUAGGAAAAUAUUUACAACACGAUACAAAUGAUUCUUCGAAAUUUAAAAUUUUAAGGAUCACGACUAAAUAUGUUUUUGAACAAGGAAUUUUCGCAAAUUUUGACAACACAUGCUUAACUCGACUCGACUCUCAAAAAGGAUUCCCCAGUGGAGGCGCCAGCUGUAGCGACGUAAAAAUUUACUUUGGUCGCUAAUUGAGGUGACUUAUUGGAAAUUUGAAAAACCGACUUUCGAUUUUAUUAAAAAAAAUAAGUCGCCACCGAUCUUUUUUCUAGGUGUGAUCGGACACCUAAUAAAUCAUCUUUUUUGAAAAGAAAAUUUAUUCUUGAACAAAAAUGAAGGCCAAAUUUGGGUCUACGCGAAAAUCCAGAGAAAAAUAGGGUUCGGGAGUCGGUUAUGUGCGAGGAAGGUAUUAGCACCCUCGCGACGCCCAAAAUUGGUAUCUUUAUUAAACAAGUGUUGUCUUGAUUUUCAAAAAUACGAAUUCAAUUUGACAUCUAAUCGUGAUUCGAUCAAAAAAUGAGAAUUUCUAGUUUUCGGUUUAGAAGGGUGUUCCGUUUUUAACACGAGCCGACGAAUUUCACCCAACAUAGCGAUGAAAUCGAUGACUUAAUGUUAAAUCGGUUCAAUGCUUUAUUUAUUAAAAUUAAUAAAAAAUGAAUAAAAAUCUUUAAAGUAGUGAACAGCAAAAUGAUAUAAAUGGGCGAGAAACAAAAAAUCAAAGAGUUACAAAUACAUCGAAACAAAAUAAAUAUGAUAAUAAUUUUAAAGACAAUAACAAUGUAUGCGAUAUUAAAUAUGAUAACAAUAGCGUUAAACGCGAAAUAAAGACGAACGUAUAUACAAACACAUAACAACAAGUGCACUGACGUAAACGUAAUAUUAAAAAUACUAAUAAUGUUACCUACAUACCUACGUAUAUAUAUUUAAAAUAUGAACAUAAUAAUAGUAUUACAAAGUAUAUACAUAGUAUGAAAACAUAUUCAUAGUAUAAUGUUAAAAAUACAUACAUAAUAUAUAGUUAUAAAAAAAUAUAAUAUGUAAGAAGAAAAUGAUAUAGUAUUCGAAAUAUAUACAUGAUAUAUAAAAAUACAAUAUUAAAAAGGUAUAUAUAUACGUAAUAUAUAAAAACGUAUAUAUAAUAUAAUGUUAGAAUAUUUACAUAAUACAUACAUACAUAAUAAUAAUGCUUUGAAAUUCUAAGACAUUUGCUCGUAUUUUGAAAAUCUUAAAAACUUAGGAGGGUACUUGACUAUUCGAACUCAACGAGAAAAAUUGCAACCCAAUAAGUUAGGGCACUACUUUUCUCGAAGCCUCCAAACAUCAAGCAUUGCCUUUUAUUUUUUAUUUUAAAAAAACCUUGAAAUAUUAUUUUAAAUGACGUUUUAGGAUGACAUAUUAAUGCAUCAUGAAGCAUAGAUGUACAAAAUAUUCUAACAUUUCCAUACAAACAUAAAUAAUAUCAUUAAGACAAAACUAAAUAACAUGAACAUACAUUUAAUGAAAAAAAUCAUACUAGGGUAAAUAUAAGAUAAUAAACAAAUAAAAAUAUGAGUAAACUAAAAGAAAAACAUAAUACAUGCAAAAAUUAUACAACAAUAUAUAUCAUAAAAUAGCACAUAAAAGAAAUAAUUAAACAUAGCAUAUAAAAAAUGAAACUAUGCACAAAUAAGAUAAAUGACAUACACUAAAAAAUGAAUAAAUAGAAAAUUUACAAAUUAUAAAAAUAUAAUGCAAUAGUUCAAAAUACAUGAAAUGAUACUAAAAUAUAUAUACAUGCAUAGAAAAUAUAUAUUUGAAAAUAAACUAUAUAAAAAAGUUAAAUAUUAUAAUAUAUAAAAUACAUAAUCAAAUGUAUAAAAGAUAGGAAUAAAUAUACAUAUUUGAAAAAUGAAGGAAUUAAAAUAAAAAAAAGGUUGAAAAACUAAGAUAGACGAAGAAUAAAAUAAGAACAAACCACAGAGAGUAAGAACGCAAGAGGGAGAGAAAUUUGAGUGAAUGCUCUCAAGAAUUCUUAUUGCCUUCCAAAACUUAAGUCAUUUACAAUGAAGGGAGAGGCCUCUAUUUAUAGUUGAGCCUCCUCAAAUCCAACGGUAUAGAUCAAUUACAUCAACGGUUAAGAUUAAAGGAUAUCUACAAAUUAAAUCUCCAAGAUUACAAGAUCAUAUCUUCAAGAUUGCAUAUCAUAUCUAAGAUUGUAUCAUAUCUAAGAUUGUAUAUCAUAUCUAAGAUUGCAUAUCCUUAAAGAUUAUAUUUUCAUAUGAGUCAAGCUUAUAGAUGGACCUUAAAUCUUUUCAAGUAAUGGGCCAUUCCGAUUGGGCCAAAUUAUAUGUUUGUAAUUUGGUACUGGACUUAGACUUUGUUUUAUUUUUAUUUUUUUGGGGUUUAUUAUUUUAAAUACUGAAAUGGGCCGGGCAAAAUUGAGUGUCUACAGCUGCCCCUCUUUGCUCAUUGCUGUGUAACAGGAAUAGAGCAAAGACUAUAAAAGGACCAAUUUUGCCUGGGCUCACCGAGUCUUGAGUUCUUGAUCCUUGAUCUUCACUGCAACUCAGGAAGGCAAUAUCUGCUAUCUUUGAUCUGCUCCCCGUCUAAUACAGAGACGCCAAAUCUGUUAUCUUCGAUCUGCUCCCCGUCUAAUACAGAGAUGCCAAAUUUGCUUCUUCAAUCUGCUCCUUGCAAACUCAUGACUGUCAUGUUGUUAUCUUCGAUCUGCUCUCCGUCGAACACAAAGACGCCAAAUCUGUUUCUUCGAUUUGUUCCCUGACAAUACAGAGAUGCCAAAUCAUCUUAGAUUUUCUUUAACGUAAGCACGUGAAAGCCAAAUUAGCUAUGUCUUUUAUUUGCUCCUUGUAAGCACAAGGAGGCCAAACCAUCUUGGAUCUGCUUUAGUAUAAACAUCUGAAGGUUGGAUCAACUAUGUGCCUGCCCUCCAUCAAAGUGGAGAUGCCAGACUUCGAUUUGUUCUCUGACAAUACAGAGAUGCCAAAUCAUCUUAGAUUUGCUUCAACGUAAGCACGUGAAAGCCAAUCAGCUAUGUCUUCGAUUUGCUCCUUGUAAGCACAAGGAUGCCAAACCAUCUUGGAUCUACUUCAGUAUAAACAUCUGAAGUUUGGAUCUGCUAUGUGUCUGCCCUCCGUCGAAGUGGAGAUGCUAGACUUCGAUUUGUUCUCUGGCAAUACAGAUAUGCCAAAUCAUCUUAGAUUUGUUUCAAUGUAAGCACGUGAAAGCCAAAUCAGCUCUGUCUUCAAUUUGCUCCUUGUAAGCACAAGGAUGCCAAACCAUCUUGGAUCUACUUCAGUAUAAACAUCUGAAGGUUGGAUCUGCUAUGUGUCUGCCCUCCGUUGAAGCGGAGAUGCCAGACUUCGAUUUGUUCUCUGACAAUACAGAGAUGCCAAAUCAUCUUAGAUUUGCUUCAACGUAAACACGUGAAAGCCAAAUCAGCUAUGUCUUCGAUCUGCUCUCCGCCAAUACAGAGAUGCCAAAUCUGGUAUCUUCGAUCUGCUCUCUGAAAAUACAGAGAUGCCAAAUAUGCUAUCUUCAACUUGUUCCCUAUAAACACAGGGAUGCCAUGCUGAAAUCCUCGAUCUGCUUCGCUGUAAGCACAGGAGUGUCAGAUCUGUUAUCUUCGAUCUGUUCCCUAUAAACACAGGGAUGCCAAAUCUGCUAUCUUCAACUUAUUCCCUAUAAACACAGGGAUGCCAUGCUGAAAUCCUCGAUCUGCUUCGCUGUAAGCACAGGAGUGUCAGAUCUGUUAUCCUCGAUCUGUUCCUUAUAAACACAGGGAUGCCAAAUCUGCUAUCUUCAACUUGUUCCCUAUAAACACAGGGAUGCCAUGCUGAAAUCUUCGAUCUGCUUCGCUGUAAGCACAGGAAUGUCAGAUCUGCUAUCUUCGAUCUGUUCCCUAUAAACACAAGGAUGCCAAAUCUUGUUUCUUUGAUCUACAUUGCCCCAUAAAAGACAUAACCUGUAGAAUGCAUAUGAGUUCAUGUCUAAUAAUUAGGAUGCUAUGAUCGAAGUGAGUCAAAUUCUCCUAAUGCAAAAUGUUAUGAAUAUGACCCCUAUUUCGGACGUCAUUACUUAUUCCCUCAUCAAAGUUUUAUCUUGAUGAAUCAACUUAGUCCUAUUGUACCAUUCUCCAAAUGUUGUGACCCGCUGGAGAUGUUUAUGGAAUGAUCCUUUCUUAAGAUCAAUAUUGCUUAAAACGUCCAACCACCUUUUGGACUGAAGAAGAAAUUUCCCCGAGUACAUCCGACCCUCAAAUAUGGAAAUUCUUUAAACAAUUGUCUUGUUUCAGUUUCUUGUAUUAUCUAGAAAUUUCCAGAGUAAUAUGCAAAACUUUGUUUGUAAGGAUAUUUAGUUCAUCUAUCAUUAUUUUAAUGCAACAUACUUUAAGGAUAAUGGAAGAUGAAUUUAAUCUUGAGAAUAAUUAGAUUUGAAUAAAUUUGUCAAAAAUACAAAGGAAAUUAAUCUGAAAGCCUAUCUUUAAGAAGAAAAAGAAUCUAAAGAUAGCAAACAGGACAAAAGUUAGAUGCCCUAGAUAUCGCCGCUCGAGCGUUUAUAUGCCAGCUCCAUGAAGACUUUCUUGAAUUCAACAUGUGUUUAAAAUAUCCAAAGUACUUUGUUGAUGCCCCGAUAUGCAACGCGCUUCACUCUUCGUUGAAUCAGAUAUAGCAAGAUUAUCGUGUUCUCUUCAAAAUUUGAGCUGCCAUUUCGGGUUUUCAACUCAAAACCCCUUUGGUCACAAGGCGCCCUUUGCGGGUUUUCACCUUGGCCUCUCCAUUUUUCUUUUUUCUUUUUUUUUUAUUUUUUUCUCUUUUUCUUUUCUUUUUUUUUUUGAAAUAGAAGUCCCAAAAUGCCCUUUGCGGGUUUUCACAUUGGCUUCCCUUUUCCUUCAGACAAAGUACUCCUUGACCGAGUCCGAAUUCACUGGAUCAGAUAAAUUCUUCCUAUCUAUUUCUUGUCAAAAUCAGUGCACCUCUAGAGAAAGCCCUCUUCGCAACAUAUGGCCCUUCCCAAUUCGGCAUCCUUUUGCAUGGGAAGGAUCUCUUUCAACACAAGGUUUCUUUUAUGAAAUUCUUUUGGACGAACCUUCUUUGUCAUAAGUCCGUGUCAUCCAUUCUUAGUACAUUUGCUUAGGAUGAAUACUUUCAAGUUAAAUUUACUAGAGGUAUUCAAUUCUUGACUCCAUCAAAGCUUGGAGGAAAAAUCUUGAUUAAUAAACCCAUGAGAAAGGGAUUGCCCCAGCAGUAGUCCUGGUUGUUGUUUGUCAAACCCUACAAAAAGAUGGUUCAAUGAUUCUCAGCAGACAAGAAUGAAGUUGCUGACUUUAUCCUUCAACCUGAAAAGCUGAGGUACAGGGAUUACUCCCGGAACAUACAUCCCACCAUGACUCGAUGAUGUUUCUGAAGCAUCCCUAAUCUUUAUAAAUUGCCCCCAACUGUGAAGCUGCCAAAUGAGCGUAGCAAAUAGGAGCCACAACAAUUAUGGUUGUUGUGCUCCUUUGAUACAAAUAGGAUAGAGAAUGAACAAACUCUUGCAGAUCAUCAGCCGAAAACCCAGCCUGGUCUAUGAGAACAUGAUAGCGGGUCUGCCUCGUGAUUCCAAUCAUUCCAGCAUGGGUACCAAGGUAAAAAUCAUUGUUCUUUGGAUGGCAUACUUUGUUGUCAAUGGAAAUACCAUGUAGCACAUUGUCAGGAGAUCCCUGUUGAAAAAAACUUGGUAUGAUGGUUUUUCGUACAACAACAACAACAAUCUUUAGGGUUCCACUUCUCGUCAAGAAACUUGCAAGCCUCAAUAACUUGAUCAAAACUUGAUUGAAUUGAGACUCGCUAACCCCAUUCCUGAAAAUAAUGAUUUGAUCAGGCUUUCUCUUCCCUGAACUUGUAUAGAAGUCUAAGAGAGCUUCCUUCAUGAUACCGUCAUCCACUUUGUCAGAAACUGGUUUUGAAGAAAGAAUCUAUCAUUUUAAGCUUCAGAGACUGUGAACAGCCUGAUGCCCCAUAGCUGGAAAUCAAAUGGCCACCGCCUGGAGCUAACCAUUGCUGCUAUUGACGGCACAUCAGACUGCCCAGGAAAGCCAAACAAUGCACCCAUUCCAAGGAUGAUGGUUGGAACCUUUGAAAUAACUGGAAUUAAAGGUGUUUUCCCCAGCGUAAGCAUAGAGAGUAGGCGGUAGUUUCUUAUGCCAAUUUUUACCUGUCUAGGUUAUCUUCUGUAAUUUGUUUUUUUUCUUCUUUUUCUUUUCUUUUGGCAACCUUUGUUGUACUGUGGUAUGGGGCAUUAUCUUUGAAAAGACUGCAAACUUUUGGCAUUGUGUAGUUAUAUAUAAUCUUUUUUUUAGAAAUGGAUGACUUUUGACUUUGUAAUAUUGGCAUAUAAAGCUAUCUCCCCGUCUUAAUGGAGUAGUUGACGUCCACAAAGAUGAGUCAUUGUCAGCUUGAAACUUUUGAUGAGCUCGGGCCCAUAACAUACAUGCCUCAUAAGUCUUGACUCCUUUAAAUUUGGCAUUCAUUGUACAACUGAUGCGAUCCCUUUCCAUAGUGGACCAACAGUGCCCCAAAACCUCAUAUUUAUUCUAGCAAUUGCAAAUCCUCCUGCAUGCGUCUUUGGACCACAUUUUUGAAUUCCCAUAAUAGUCUCAACAAGGUCUUGUUUUGUCUCCUCAGCUAAUUCCAAUUUCGCAAUCUUUCUUUUCUCUAAGGCUAUAUUUCCUACCACCACUUCAUGGGGUAAAAGCCAUUUUCAACAAAUUCAGAAACAAGUCACAAUUUCUGUCACCUUCAAAGUACUGAGAUUCCUCUAAACACAUAUCGCACUCAAAAAGAACUCUGAAUCUGUAGUAUUGUUGCCCGUGUCAUUGAUAUCUAGGGAUCUAUGAUAGGCACACAAAAGAAUAUACAAGGAUUUCAAGAAUGACUAUUUACAUGAAAUGAAAAUUUAUAAAGAAUGUCAAAGGUCAAAAGAAUCAGAGUGAAAGAAUAUUUACUCGGAUAAAUAAUAAAAGUAUGUUUUAUUGAAAAUAAAAAAAGUCUGAACAUGAGCUGACUUCUCAAAAGAAAUCUCAUUACACCUAGGCUUUAGAGUAACAAGAGUGUUCUGAAUAUUACUCCGUAAAAUUCCUAAAGAUUACAAGAAGUUCUUUUGCAGUCCAAUUGUUUAAAGAACUUCCCGGUUCGUAAGGGUGAAUGCCCUCAAGGUUUCUUUGUUCAGUUCCUUCCUCAUGUAUGACAUUAAUAAGAUGAUUUUCAUUUCCAAACACCCCCUUCUCUGGGUAAGCUAUCCCUCCUGACACAAAAGUCAGGGAUAUGUAAGGGAACGUCGUUAAUUCCCAUUCAAUUUCUUUUUCACUCAGCCGUGAUCCUCUUCUCUCUCUCUUUUUUUCUUUCACUUUUUAAUAACUUUAACUAAUUAGGGUCUUUUUAUAAUUUUGAAUGUAAAUGAUGCAAUGAAAUGCUAUAAGAUGCAAAUGAAUGCAAAAGGUAUUGAUCUCAAUUCAAUCUCAUUUAGAAAACUUUAUUUAGAAAAAGAAUAACUUGACAUAUAAAUGGAUUACAAAUACGCUUUCGCCCUAAUGCCCGAAGUUUUAACUCUAUCUAAUAAAAGGGCUAACUCUCGUCCUAUAUCCAAUGAUGAUCCGUACAUUAGACUCAAUGCAUCAACUCGUAUUGCCAAAUCUUGUACAUAUUCGGCAAACUCUCAAAUCUGGGCUACGGCUUCACCAAUAACGUGAUCCCUUUCUCUGACCUGUCCUCUAGACUGAUGAAGCUCUCCUUUUAGAUAAUCUUCUCGCGCCUCGAGCUACUCAAUCCGAAGUUCACCAUUAUGCAAUGCCACUUCCAAAUCUUGCACCUUACUUUUUAGCUCCUUUAACUCGACCGUAGGAUCAUGAUUUCGAUGCCAACGAAGGGAUCUUCCAAGCUCAGUUACCUUGGUCUUCAACCUUUUAUUUUCUUCCUCUAAUGCCAAAUUCUGCGGCUGCAUCUCUUGGUACUUCCACUCCCAAUACUCGGCUCUAACUUUUUCCUCUUGGACCUCUUUCUGCAACUAAACCGAAGACCCUCCUAUUCUCGUUCUCCUCAAGGAUACUUGUGCCUUUUUGUAAUGCUCUUUCAAAUCAUCUCGAUCAUCCUUGAUCUUCCUCUCUUUCUCGACCUCCAUCUUUUGAACAUCGACGUCUAAGCUCAAGUACAUCUGUUCUUCUUCAAGCUUUGCUAUCCUUUUCUCAAGCUCUAAGUUCUUUCUCUCGAACUCUUACUUCAUAAUUUCUAACUCCGAAGGCAUCACUUGCAAAUAUUCCUCUAUCGGUUGAGCUUCUUCCACGUUUGGCUUAGGGAUGUUAUCAUUAAUCCUUCUACCUCUCCACUCAACGUACUCCGGAGUCGUAGCAGAGCUAAUAACUACUCCCUUUAAUCGACAAGUCUUGUUCCAAGCACUAGAGAUCUCACUGACUUUCUUCUUGUAGUCAGCUCCUCUAUACAUGAACUCACUCUGAACCAAACUGUAAGUUGUCGGUAUGAACUGUCUCAAUCCAUGUUGCCUCAGCAUAAGCAAAGGGGCAUAACCAAUGGCACCCCAAAUUCCCAAUAGAGGGACCCAAUCAAAACUGCCAUAUCGGUAAAGAAUCUCACCAGGAAUCAUCUAUGGAGCCCUCCACUCUACGUCCUUUAACUGCAGAUUCUGAAGUAGCGCUAUCCAACUUUUUUCAGGAACAUCAACUUUCCUAGAUGAAGCUACUAUGUCCUUCAACGGGGAGUAAUCCUCAAAGAAGACCCGACAAACCACCCUAUCUAUCAAACGGAAGUGACUGUAGAACCAAGCUAAAAGUAACUGAACACAACCAACAAACCUGCCCGUACUGGCCCUCCUACAUGCAUUCAAUGACCUGAAUGUCUCCGCCAAAAUUGCAGGAAUAGGAGUGACCCGCUUGCUAAGUCGAUGGAAGAGAUCCGUGGUCGCCUUAUCCACAUAUCCCAAGGCCUUGGGGAAAACCAUCAAUCCGUAUCAGUUUAAGGCAAAAAUGUCUACCCUCUGUCUAGAUCAGAUCUUUCAAAGCUCUCCACGGAAUGCACUUACUCUCACCCUUUUCCUUAAUUCUAGCCAUGAUCCACUGCUCGCUCAUCCCCGUAAUGGUCAUCAGCUUCUUACCAAAGGUUGGGACACAAGCAGCUCAAGAAUAAAUCCUAUCACACUGAAAUCUAAGACACCGAAGUAAGGCUGUGUAUUCCUCCACAGUAGGCAUUAAAUCUACCUUCCCAAUGGUAAAACAACUGUAUGCUGGGUUCCAAAACUGAGCGAGAGCUCGAAAAAAGUUCUCAUCAACCUAAAUAUCAAACAAAUAGAGCAAAUCUCCCUACUUACCGUAGAAUAAUUGCUUGGUCUCAUUGCCCCAUUGAUCCCAAAUCGUCUUAAGCUCUUACAGAUUAUUCUGUGUGACACUGAUGAGCGUGCAGUCUGACAACUCCGACAUAUAUCCCACAGUUAUGCUAUCCCCUUUUCCUAGCUGAGUUUUCUCAGACCAUCUAUGGACGUUAACGUUGCCCUCCACUCUAUCAAGAAGUUCGGUCUCCAUAAUAAAACUUUCUAACUUAGAAACUGACCGUGAAUCGAUACCUUUUAAAUGCGAAAUGACAUGCAAUGAAAAAAAGAAACAGUUAGUAUCACAUAAUAUUAAUAAACUUAAGAACGAUAUGUGAAGGUAAUAUCUAAAGUAUAAUUCUAACUAAGUUGAGCUCUUACGGUUUUUCUAUAUGAGGUUUUAGUUCUAAAGUUGAGGUACCUGAACCAGCAGAUUCCUUGAUUCUCACCCAUUAUAGGCUCAUUUGAAUCGAGUUCAGUUCAGGGGAAUACAUUUCCCUAUGGCUACACGGAGAUGAAAAUCUCACGAAACCAUAGGUACGGAUGUAUCCCGAAAGUGAUCCACUAUCCUGCACGGAGGCGAAAACCUCACGAAGGCGUAGUUUCUCACUCCCACUUAAGGGUGUGACCACAACGGUCAUGCAAAUGCAAUGCGUAUCAGAAUAUAUAACAUAUGCAAUAAUACAAACACAUGUAAUGCAAAGAGGAUUGAAUUUUAAAAUUUUUCAAAUUUUCGACAUUAAGACAAAAGGUAAUCAAUUAUACGGCUUGACUCUCUUAUUAGUCCCCAGUGGAGUCGCCAAGCUGUCGAGACUAUUUUUUUAAAUCGAGUUUUGGAAAAUGGGAAUCGACUUUAAGAAAAACGAAAAUGGGAGUCGCCACCAAUCUUUUUAGGUGUGAUUGGAUCACCUUAUAAAAUGUUUUGUUUUAAAACAUUAAUUUUGGUCUACGAAAGUCGAGAAAACGGAUUCGGGAGUCGGUUACGUACGAGGAGGGAUUAGCACCCUCGUAACCCCCAAAAAUUGGUACCUAAUUAAUUAUCAAAUAUCUUUAAGAUCGGAAAUUUAAAAAUUUUAAGAUGCAAUCCUCUUUAAAAUAUUUUGGUUUUUGAAAAUUGGGGUUCACUUGUAUCAAAAUAUUGAUACUAAGUUAGCCUUUUUGGAAAUCCCUAUCUCGAAACUACAAAACGCCACAUCCAGUAAGUUAGGACACAACGCUUUGAAAUUCUAAGACAUUUGCUCGUAUUUUGAAAAUCUUAAAAACUUAGGAGGGUACUUGACUAUUCGAACUCAACGAGAAAAAUUGCAACCCAAUAAGUUAGGGCACUACUUUUCUCGAAGCCUUCAAACAUCAAGCAUUGCCUUUUAUUUUUUUUUUAAAAAAACCUUGAAAUAUUAUUUUAAAUGACGUUUUAGGAUGACAUAUUAAUGCAUCAUGAAGCAUAGAUGUACAAAAUAUUCUAACAUUUCCAUACAAACAUAAAUAAUAUCAUUAAGAUAAAACUAAAUAACAUGAACAUACAUUUAAUGAAAAAAAUCAUACUAGGGUAAAUAUAAGAUAAUAAACAAAUAAAAACAUGAGUAAACUAAAAGAAAAACAUAAUACAUGCAAAAAUUAUACAACAAUAUAUAUCAUAAAAUAGCACAUAAAAGAAAUAAUUAAACAUAGCAUAUAAAAAAUGAAACUAUGCACAAAUAAGAUAAAUGACAUACACUAAAAAAAUGAAUAAAUAGAACAUUUACAAAUUAUAAAAAUAUAAUGCAAUAGUUCAAAAUACAUGAAAUGAUAAUAAAAUAUAUAUAUACAUGCAUAGAAAAUAUAUAUUUGAAAAUAAACUAUAUAAAAAGGUUAAAUAUUAUAAUAUAUAAAAUACAUAAUCAAAUGUAUAAAAGAUAGGAAUAAAUAUACAUAUUUGAAAAAUGAAGGAAUUAAAAUAAAAAAAAAGGUUGAAAAACUAAGAUAGACGAAGAAUAAAAUAAGAACAAACCACAGAGAGUAAGAACGCAAGAGGGAGAGAAAUUUGAGUGAAUGCUCUCAAGAAUUCUUAUUGCCUCCCAAAACUUAAGUCAUUUACAAUGAAGGGAGAGGCAUCUAUUUAUAGUUGAGCCUCCCCAAAUCCAACGGUACAGAUCAAUUACAUCAACGGUUAAGAUUAAAGGAUAUCUACAAAUUAAAUCUCCAAGAUUACAAGAUCAUAUCUUCAAGAUUGCAUAUCAUAUCUAAGAUUGCAUAUCAUAUCUAAGAUUGUAUCAUAUCUAAGACUGCAUAUCAUAUCUAAGAUUGCAUAUCCUUAAAGAUUAUAUUUCCAUAUGAGUCAAGCUUAUAGAUGGACCUUAAAUCUUUUCAAGUAAUGACCAUUCCGAUUGGGCCAAAUUAUAUGUUUGUAAUUUUGUACUGGACUUGGACUUUGUUUUAUUUUUAUUUUUUUUGAGUUUAUUAUUUUAAAUACUGAAAUGGGCUAGGCAAAAUUGAGUGUCUACAAUAUAUAGUUAUAAAAAAAUAUAAUAUGUAAGAAGAAAAUGAUAUAGUAUUCGAAAUAUAUACAUGAUAUAUAAAAAUACAAUAUUAAAAAGGUAUAUAUAUACGUAAUAUAUAAAAACAUAUAUAUAAUAUAAUGUUAGAAUAUUUACAUAAUAUAUACAUACAUAAUAAUAAUGUUGAAAACACAUACUAAUAUUAAUUACAAUACUAAUAUUACAUAAAGAUAUACCUAUAUAUAUAUAUUAAAGAUAUACACCUAUAUAAUAAAGUAUAUAAAUAAUAUGAUAUUUAAAAAAUAUAUAUAUACGUAAUAUAUAAAAAUAUAAUAUUAAAAAAAUAAUAUACAUAAUAUAAGAGUAUUAAAAUAAUAAAUAAAAAAUAAUAAAGAAAUAAGUAAAAAUAAUAUACAUAAUAAUAUAGUAAGAAAAUAAUAUAUUUAUAAUAAGUACUUAAAAACAUCUAUAUGUAUAUACGUAUAAUAAUGAUAAAAAAAAUAAUAGUGAAAAUAAUAAAUAUAAUAAUAAAUAUAAUAAUAGAAACGAUAAUACUAUAUAAAAAUUAUAUAUAUACAUAUAUAUAAUAAAAUAUAUAUACUAAUAUUAAUAAUAAAUAUAAUAUUAUAAUACUAAUAAUAAUAAUAUGAAAUUAAAGUAACUAAAAAUAAUACCGUAUGCAUAUAUAAUGAAAAUAUACAUUAAUAUAUAAAAUAAUAAUAAUAUUGAUAAUAUUAAUAAUAUUAGAAAUAAUAAUAUUUAAUAAAGAAACAAAAAUAAAUAAGAAAGGACUAAAAUUGAACUAAUAACAAAGUUUUGGGGCAAAUUUAAAAGGAAAUAAAGGGGAAAGAACUAAAUUACACGUGCAAACAAACAAGAGGGACUAGAUCGGGCAAUAAACCAUUCAGCCUCAAACGCACAGCAGUAGAGGGACCAAAAUGAAACAAAAAUAAAAUUUCUGGGCAAAAUUAAAAAUACAAAAAAUUGAAUUUCGAAACUAUAAAAAAGCGGAAGGGCUAAAAGUGCAAUUAGCCCUUCCGUAAAAAACACGCGGAUCCUAAGCGGGUAUAGGUUGGGUCGGACCUGGUCGCAUCAAAACGAUGUCGUUUUGGGGUUAAAAGGCAGCUCCCAAAACGACGUUGUUUUGAAGGGCUAUUUAAAUCCAAUUUUUUUAAAAAAAUUCAUUCUUCUCCUAUAAAAAAAAUUCUCUUCUCCUCUCAUCUUCCUCUGCAGAGACCCCCCACGCCGGUGAAGACUCCGGCCUGGCGCCUGCGCCGGCCACCAUACACGGUGGUUGGAAAUGUAUUUUUUUUGCUUCUUUUUUCUUUUUUUUAAAAAAACUUAUUAAUAUAUCUUAUAUAUAUACAUUGAAUACAAAUAAAAAUAAAAUAUUUAUGAAUAUAUACGUAGUUUCGAAAGAAAAGAAAAAAGAAAAAGAAAAAUCAACAACCUUUCGUGUUUUCUAUUUGUUGUCUUGUUUAUGUGCUUGAAUCUAGUGUUUUGAUAUUGCGAAGAUCGAUUUUGUACUCUAGAAAUCUAUUGUUUGUAUUGAUGAAAGAAAAAUCCGAAUAGAUUCAGCCCCCUCCCCCCUUUUUAUAAUAUUUUGUUUGGCUUUUUAUAGCCAUUUUACAUCAAUUUUUUUCAAUAUUUGUUGUCUUUUCUUUCUUUGAUUUUGCAGGUGCAAGUGGUGGUGGAGCAGGUGGCGGUGGGUGAUGGUGGCAGAGUCGUCAGAGGCAAGUGGGGAGAGGGUGGCUAGGGUUUUAGCUUUUUUUGAAACCCUAAGUCUAGAGUUGGGUCAAAAAUUGGGCCUCUUAGGUUUGGGCUAGGGUUUAAUUUUGGGUUUGGGUGGUUGGGUUUAGGUUAUUUAUUUGGGCUUCUGUUGGGUUUUGAUGUAAAUGGGUUUAAGUGAGUCUGAUGGGUUAAGGGUUUUGGGUUGGUUUGAUUCAAUUUGAGUUUGGGCUUUGGUAGGUCAAAAUUGGCCUGUAACAAAUAUAAUUUAUAUAUUUUUGCGUUGAUGCUGUUGAAUUUAUAUGGAAUUAUUUAUAGUGAUAUUGAUUAUCUUAGGAAUUUGAACAACCAUACCUAUUGAUAACUGAUAAUUAAUGUCUAACUAUUUAUCUUAAUUCAUUUUGGAUGACUGUAAAAUUAUAAUAUUAUUAUAAAAUUAUUUAAGGGUGGAAAAUUCAAAAAAUAAUUAAUAAUUUAUAAUAUACAUCUGGAAUUAAUAUGGACAUAUAGUUGUCCAAAUUCAUUUACAUCCGAACAAUUAUUUGUUCAAAUUCAUUUUGGAUAAAUACAAAACUAUAUAGUUUUAGAAACUAUAAUAAAUUAUAAUUUUUAAUAAUUAUUAAGAAAAUCUACCUAAUGAAAUACCCUAUACCCGGCUCGGUCGCCAAACUUGAAUAUCAGGAUAUCACACCACAUUCAUACAUCACACAUAUUAUAGAUUGUGUCCCAUUAUUAGGCAACACCCUUUUAUUUUAGAAUAUGCACGAGUUUUAAGUCAAACUUACUUUAAUCAUCAUAAUACAUGCUAAACAUACAUCAAAUAGACCUACAAUAAUAACUAAACAAGCAUAGGGACCAGUUAGCAAAAUUCCAAAACAAGUCACGUAGGUAUCGAUACUGAAACAAAUGUAUCGAUAUUGAAACAAAGGAAUCGAUAUUUCUUUUAAAUGGUAUCGAUACCAAACAACAUUUUGUUUCUCGUCUAAAAAUCAAAUCAUAGAAUAUAUCAAUACCUUUAUUUAAGUACCGAUUAUUUUACCUCAAGUAUCGAUACUCGAGAUAAGGUAUUGAUACCAAAUUACCAUACUGACUUCCUGCACAUCGAAAUAUCACAGAGGUGUCAUUUUUAAAAACCGAAUAUCGAUGCCUCUACUCCAGACCACAAAGAUACAAUAGUUGAAGGAAAAUAACUCAUUCUAACUAACAACUAUUCAACAUGCAAAUUUUACCUCAUCAAACCAUCAUCAAAACUACCAUAACAACGGUUCAGUCAUCGAAGACAUGUCUGAGCAAGGAAUUAACAUAACAAGUUCCAAGUCUAUAAAUCCUAAGAUCAAUUAAGCUAUGAAAACUUUUAAAACAUCAUGGCAAUAUUUAUGCAAUAAAUCUACAACAUUAUUCAACGUCCAUCGACUAUACAUACAAUUCAUGGCACUUCAAUAUAGUAAAUAUUCAAACCAAAACAAUAUCAGUGAAAUAAUUAUAACAUCCAUCAAAAGUGCUAAAAAACUAAACCCAUAAAAUGUAACGCCCCAAUUUUCGAGAAUUCUGUGAAUGUUGGCAUAGGUUUAAUUAAGCUAGUGGGCCUCUAGAAAGCCCAAACUUAAGAUAGAACCCGACAAUUUUAGUUAAUUUUUGUUCCAUAAGAAAAAGGGGGUGAAAUUAUGAAAUAGAACCUAUGUAAAAAUGUUUGAAAAUGCUAUAGGCUAAAUUGAAGUGGCCAAAUAAAUAGGAAUGCAAAAUAGGAGGAUUUGCAUGACAAACCUCCCAUUUUACAUGAAGUGGCCAGCCAUCAUGUUGUUGUAGACAAAAUGUGCACUUGAUAUCCAUAAUUUAUGGUACAAAUUGAUACAGAUUGAUAAUAGGUUAGGUAAAUGUUCCAUGAUAAUAGGUUAGGUAAAUGUUCCAUGAUAAUGGGUUAGGUAAAUGUUUCAUGAUAAUGGGUUAGGUAAAUGUUUCAUGAUAAGAAUUUCAUGUCUUUUGUAUUAAAGAAUUAAAUGGAUGAAAUAUGAGGUUUUAUUAAAAGAAAAAGGGGUGAAAAGAACAAAGUUUUGUCCAUCUUUGUUCAUCAUAGCUGAAAGUUAGAGAAGAGAAAAGAGAGGAGAAAGCUAUUGAGUAUUCGGUCAUUAGGAGGAGGAAAAUUGAAGGUAAGUUCUUGGUACCUAGCUUCUAUUUUGAGGUUCAUGAGUUCUUCUUGAUUCUACCUUAACUCUUGAAGUAUAUUUUGAUUUUUAGUUGUGUUGUGAGCAUUUAGUCAUGAAUUAAAAUGAAGGAAAUGGUUGUUGUUUCAUGUUCUUUUGAUGAAAAAUGGAAGAUAGGUGAAGUUGAGCCAAACAAAUGAGCAUGCAUGUGCGUUAGAUGCUAAAGGGAAAAAUCGGCUAACAUGUUGUGCUUUAAAAUGAUGACAUGGAGAUUAUACUUAAUUAAAAUCAUAGAUAUGUGAUGAUUGAUUGGUGAUAUACAUGUUUAAAUAACAAGCAUGCAAGUUAUGUGUGAAAGAGUGAUUUGGUAAUAAAUCUGCUUGGGACAGCAGCAGUAACGUGACUUUGGAAAAUCACCAUAAAUUGUAGGAGAUGAGUUAGAAGCUACAUAAAUUAUGUAAUUAAAUCUUAAUGAGUCUAGUUUGAAAUGGAAUAAACGAGAACAUAUUUUGAAUUCUGUACAAUGAGAAAUUUGAUUCGUAAUGAAGAGUGGUCAGAUUAGUCAAACAGUGAAACAUGGGAAAAUUUGAGAAAAAUCUGGUAUUGAUUGGCCAAACCAAAAAUUCUGAAAAUUUUAUGGAUAGAAGAUAUAUGAGUCUAUUUUCAGGGAAAAUUAACGGAACUUGAUUUGGAGUUUCGUAGCUCCAGUUAUAAAUGAUUUAGUGACUGUUGCUCAGGAAGACAGCUUGCAGUGAAAUUAUGAUUAUGUGGUAAACAUUGACAAAAAUUUGUUAAUGAGUUGCUUAUUGAUUUCUUAUAAGCUUACUAUGAUCUGUAGGUGUGGUUGGCCGAAUAUUGUAAGGGGUUAAUACGUAGUUUGUAUUUGAAUAGUUAGAUUAACGUGUUAGUAAUCCAAUUGUAGGCGGUUCGUGUGUGGAUCUCGUCAGCAUAUCGUCGCAAACAAGUGUGUAACUAACACCCUCUUUCUUAGUCUAGAUCGGCAAAAGUCGAAAAGCCGAAAUGCCGAAAACCGGUAUUUUGUAGAUUUGCGAGUGUGCGAAUGCUCGUGAGGUAAAUCGAUUAAUGUUUUUGGUAAGCUGCAAUGUUUGGACUGCAAAGUGCAUAAUUUCUGUGCCCUCGAUAUUUUUGGGCUUAAUGGGCCAAAAUUCGAAUGAUGGGCCAACGGGCCCAAUUCGGUAAGAACCCUUGGUAGUGAUUCUGUUAGUACGUGAAAGGUAGGAAUAUGCAUGAAAAAUCCUAAAAUAGAUAAAUUACUGAAAUACCUUUAAAAGUGGAAAUUUUACAGUUUUACCCCUAGGAGAUAAAUUACCGAAAUACCCCUAGGGUUAAAUUGACCUAAAUGUAUGUUUGACUGUUGCUAUUUACUGCAUGCCAUGUUGUUAUUAUCUGAUGCAUGGGACUGGGAUAUUGACGGAGGAAGUACUGAAAGUGGCUUGUCCACGUACUGGAGGCUUUGCCUCAAUUUACUGUUAACUGAGCAGCAAGGCUGCAACUGUGGAGUGUUGGGCUGGGUGGGUUGAGCUAUUCCCCACAUGGAGUGUAUGGCUGGUACGGGUGGAGUGUAGUGGUUGAUGGGUUGAGUAGUCUCCCCAAAUGGACUUGCAUAUGUUUACUGAUGUUGCAUGUAUUUUGAAAUGGGCCUAUGGGCCAUACUGUUAUCUGAAUAAGGGGCUCAGGCCCAGUUUAUUGUAAUCUGAAAAGGGCUCUGGCCUAGUACCACUGUUACCUGAAUGGGCUUAGGCCCAAUAGGCUUGAGCUGACUUGGGCUUUGAAUGGGUUUUCUUUACACACUAAGUUUCCCCAAACUCACCCUUUUAUUUUCAUCCACGCAGGAAAUCCCCAACCAUAGUGGGCUUGGAGCUGUGAGGGAAUUCGAAGUGGCCACCCGUUCUGAAAGUUUGAUUUUCUUCUGGUGAACUGGACAUCCUUUUAUUUACGUUUGAAGUUUUGGGUUUUUAAAUGUAAUAAGGCCGCUUAAUUAUUUUUAAUGGUUUUAAUAUGUAUUACUAAGAUAGGUAUUACUUAUUUUAACUGUUGAAAUUGGAUAGCUUUAGGGCGUGUUUUCAAAAACAACAGUUGAUUUCAAAAUAACACGACAACAAGCAAAGCUUCCGCAAUGAAAGUAUUUUCCAAAAUUAAUCACUUUUCCUAAAAAUAACUUAAUCAAAUCGGUUUCCUAGAAAUAUCUAUGACGUUAAGGUGUGGCAAUGGUGGUAUGCAUGUCUAGGAUUGGAUCCGAAGGGAGCUUGGUACUUAAGCGGUCCAAUGGACUCACCACCUCUUUUCCGGUUCAGUCGUUAAGGCCGAAUCGACGUGCCACUUUGAAGUCAAAAACCCGUGUUCCCUUUUUAGUGUUUUAAAAAGCCGACUUUUGUCAAACUAACCAAGUGAAUGGAAGCUGGGCACUAGGUAGGUAUCCAUAACAGAGGAGGUGAGCCAUGAAGGAUGCUUAAGUACCAAGCUCUCCGAUUAGAUCCAAUCCUAGACAUGCCCACAUCCAUUUCCACACUUGGUUAUAACAAGUUGAAAUUUCUUUGAGUAAUUAUCUUUGGUAAAUCGAAUAUUCGUGACGUCGUGUUAUUUUAAAAAAAAACAAGUAUCGUUUUGAAAUCACGCCCUAAGUCUAGCCCAUUUGAAUUAGUAUCCAUCAAUUUAAAGUUGUUUUUAAUAAUAUAAUCCCAGAAAAAUCAAAGAAGAAAAUAAAGUUAAAAUGGCCUUAUUACAACCCAAAAAUUAAAUAGCAAUUAAAAAUAACUUAAGAAACCAGUCUCUUUUUCAAACCCAAAAGUAUUCACCAUGGCCACUCUGAAUCCCCUCCGGCUCCAAGUCACCCACAUCAAGGCUCACCUCCAAGGUUAAAGAAGGGGUGAGUUUGGGGAAACUCAGUGUGUAAGGAAAACCCAUUCAAAGCCCAAGUCAGCUCAAGCCCAUUAGGCCUAAGCCCAUUCAGGUAACAGUGGUACUGGGCCAGAGCCAUUUUCAGAUUACAAUAAACUGGGCCUUAGCCCCUUAUUCAGAUAACAGUAUGGCCCAUAGGCCCAUUUCAAAAUACAUGCAACAUCAGUAAAUAUAUGCAAGCCCAUUUGGGGAGACUACUCAACCCACAAACCACUACACUCCCCCCGUACCAGCCAUACACUCCAUGUGGGGAAUAGCUCAACUCACCCAGCCCAACACUCCACAGUUGCAGCCUUGCUGCUCAGUUAACAGUAAAUUGAGGCAAAGCCUCCAGUACGUGGACAAGCCACUUUCAGUACUUCCUCCGUCAAUAUCCCAGUCCCAUGCAUCAGAUAAUAACAACAUGGCAUGCAGUAAAUAACAACAGUCAAACAUGCAUUUAGGUCAAUUUAACCCUAUGGGUAUUUCGGUAAUUUAUCUCCUAGGGGUAAAACUGUAAAUUUUUCACUUUUAAAGGCAUUUCAGUAAUUUAUCUAUUUUAGGGUUUUUCAUGCAUAUUCCUACCUUUCACGUACUAACAGAAUCACUACCGAGGGUUCUUACCGAAUUGGGCCCGUUGGCCCAUCAUUCCAAUUUUGGCCCAUUAAGCCCAAAAAUAUCGAGGGCAUAGAAAUCAUGCACUUUGCAGUCCAAACAUUGCAGCUUACCAAAAACAUUAAUCGAUUUACCUCACGAGCAUUCGCACACUCGCAAAUCUACAAAAUACCAGUUUUCGGCAUUUCGGCUUUUCGACUUUUGCCGAUCUAGACUAAGAAAGAGGGUGUUAGUUACACACCUGUUUGCGACGAUAUGCUGACGAGAUCCACACACGAACUGCCUACAAUUGGAUUACUAACACAUUAAUCUAACUAUUCAAAUACGAACUACGUAUUAACCCCUUACAAUAUUCGGCCAACCACACCUACAAAUCAUAGUAAGCUUAUAAGAAAUCAAUAAGCAACUCAUUAACAAAUUUUUGUCAAUAUUUACCACAUAAUCAUAAUUUGACUGCAAGCUGUCUUCCUAAACAAUAGUCACUAAAUCAUUUAUAACUAGAGCUACGAAACUCCAAAUCAAGUUCCGUUAAUUUUACCUGAAAAUAGACUCAUAUAUCUUCUAUCCAUAAAAUUUUCAUAAUUUUUGGUUUAGCCAAUCAAUACCAGAUUUUUCUUAAAGUUUCCCAUGUUUCACUGUUUGACUAAUCUGACCACUCUUCAUUACGAAUCAAAUUUCUCAUUGUACAGAAUUCAAAAUAUGUUCUCGUUUAUUUCAUUUGAAAAUAGACUCAUUAAACUUUAAUUACAUAAUUUAUUCAGCUUCUAAUUCAUCUCCCACAAUUUAUGGUGAUUUUCCAAAUUCACGUUACUGCUGCUGUCCCAAGCAGAUUUAUUACCAAAUCACUCUUUCACACAUACCUUGCAUGCAUGUUAUUUAAACAUGUAUAUCAUCAAUCAAUCAUCACAUAUCUAUGAUUUUACUUAAGUAUAAUCUCCAUUUCAUCAUUUUAAAGUACAACAUGUUAGCCGAUUUUUCCCUUUAGCAUCUAAGGCACAUGCAUGCUCAUUUGUUUGGCUCAACUUCACCUAUCUUCUAUUUUUCAUCAAAAGAACAUGAAACAACGACCAUUUCCUUCAUUUAAUUCAUGACUAAAUGCUCACAACACAACUAAAAACCAAAAUAUGCUUCAAGAGUUAAGGUAGAAUCAAGAAGAACUCAUGAACAUCAAGAUAGAAGUAAACUACCAUGAACUUACCUUCAAUAUUCUUCCCCAAGUAACCGAACAUUCAAGAGCUUUCUCCUCUCCUUUCUCUUCUCUAACUUUCGGCUAUGAUGAACAAAGAUGGACAAAACUUGUUCUUUUCACCCCUUUUUCUUUUAAUAAAAUUUCAUAUUUCAUCCAUUUAAUUCUUUAAUACAAAAGACAUGAAAUUCUCAUCAUGGAACAUUUACCUAACCCAUUAUCAUGGAACAUUUACCUAACCCAUUAUCAUGAAACAUUUACCUAACCCAUUAUCAUGGAACAUUUACCUAACCCAUUAUCAAUUUGUAUCAAUUUGUACCAUAAAUUAUGGAUAUCAAGUGCACAUUUUGUCUACAACAACAUGAUGGUUGGCCACUUCAUGUAAAAUGGGAGGUUUGUCAUGCAAAUCCUCCUAUUUUGCACUCCUAUUUAUUUGGCCACUUCAAUUUAGCCUAUAGCAUUUUCAAACAUUUUCACAUAGGUUCUAUUUCAUAAUUUCACCCCCUUUUUCUUAUGGAACAAAAAUUAACUAAAAUUGUCGGGUUCUAUCUUAAGCUUGGGCCUUCUAGAGGCCCACUAACAUAAUUAAACCUAUGCCAACAUUCACAGAAUUCCCGAAAAUUGGGGCGUUACAGUGAUCAUGUGUACAUGUGUAAAAAUAAAAUACAUAUGUAUAUAUAAUAAUAAAAUAUGAAAUACUUAAUAUUUAAGUAUAUAUACUAUAUUAUAUUAUUUUAAUAAUAAUUAAAGAAUAACUAAAUAAAAUAAAAGAAAUAGAAAAAAAAAAGAACAAAGUAGAAUGAAACUGAGAAGAAAAAGAGAGAAAGAAAAAGGAGAAAAAAAUUAAGGUUUUCAAGGGUUCAAAGCUUAAUUGGUAAGUUAAUUUAGUCCAUUUUCUUAUAAUUUUUAUGUUUUUAGAAUCUUAAAACUAAAUACUACCCAACCCAAGUCAAAAUUUUAGAAAUUAUUGAGUUUUUAAAUGUUCUCUAUGUUGAAUAAUUAGAGUAUUGGGGACUAAAUUGAUAGAUUUUUAAGAUAGAAUGAAAAAGGAUUGAAUUGUAGAAUAAAUAGUAAAUUUUGACUAAAAGGGACUAAAUUGUGAAAAUUUUAAAAUUUAGGGAUUUAAGUGAAAUUAUAGAGUUGAAUUUAGUCUAAAGUGGAAAUUGAAUGAAAAUAUGGAAUUAAUUUUGAAGAAAUAAAGUUAGUCUCGAUUUAGGGACUAAAUUGGAAAUUAGGAAAAUAUUGAACAAAAUUGAAAUAUUUAAUCUGAAAUUGAAUUGUAUUGUAUUGAUGAAUUUUAAUUGGUUUAAUUUCAUAGAAAACGUUGUGUCGGAAACUACGACUAGGAAAGGAAAAGAUAAAGUCGACGAGGAGUAGCUCAAAAGUUCUGGUUUGUAUUUCUAUAAUUUGAAUCUAAGUAUUAAUUGUUGUAUUUUUUAUUUAAUGUUUAUGGUAAGAGAAUAAGGUAAGUAAUUAGCAUUAUGAUAUUGAAUUGAAUAUAUGUGAAUUUAUAAUUAAUGUGAUAUUUGAAUAAUGAAUGAUUGUGGCAUUUGAAAAGUGAAUUGAAACCUUAUUAACUGUAUCGGGCUGAGUUGGAUAUAGAUGGCAUGCCAUAGGAUUGGAAGAGUUCAGGGAUUGCUUCGACCUUGAGUCGAUGAGACACUGGGUGUCAAUCUAUUACUUCGAAUUAAUUCGAUAAGGUAAUGGGUACCAAUUUACUUCGGUUUAACCGAUAAGACACAAGAUGUCAAAUUAUUAUUUCGAAUUAUCCGAUGAGGCACUGGGUGGCAAAUUGGUGUGUUUUGGUUGGAUCCAUGUAUCCAUCCGAGUCCGAGUCGUGUUAAUAAGGGUAAUUAAAAGAAGUGGUACUACGAAAAGUAUUUGGAAAUACCAAAUGUGAAAUGGAAAUGAUACAUAUGGAUUGUGUGACAUAUUGUGAAAAACUAAUUGAGAUAGCAAAUGAUGAGAAUUGAUUGUAGAAUGAUUAAAUUGAUCAAUUGAAUGACUAUUGUUAUUGUAUGAUUAAAUGUGUACGUUAUAUUAUUUUACUUAAAAUAUUCAGAUUAUAGAAAUACCACUAAGUUUAUACUCAGCGUACGGUUUUGUUUUCCGUGCGCAGGUUAGGUACUUAAGUCUGAUUGCCGAAUCAGCAUCCAUCAACGAUCCCGAACUCAAAACGUGGUGAUUUAUAGUUCUUUUUAUGUCGGCAUGUACCUAGGUUGUCUAAAGCUUAUCAUCUUGUGGAGUGAUUGUAAUUAAUAUUAUAAGUUGAUAUUGGUUGAUUAUAUAUAUGAAUAUAUGUAUUAUUGAGACUAUAAUAUGGCAUGUUUAGGUUGAUGCAUGAAUGAACAUGAUAUAGGCAAAAUUUAGGUUGAUAUUGGCAAGGUUUUAAAUUGGUUUUGAUAGAUGUUAUUUGAAAUAUUUUGAAAAUGUUUUUGAAGUAUCUAUAAGGGUACAUUGGUUAGGAAGCUAGGUUGAUUGUUUUGGCAUGUUUAAAAGGUAAUUAAUCGUGUUUUGGAUGGGUUGAACGAAUAGUUUUUUAGUUGCUUAGUGUUUAAGAUUGCAGGGAAUGGUAAACUUGAUGUUUAAGGUUCAUUUUGAGUUCACACGGCCAGACACAUGGGCGUGUGACUAGACUGUGUGAGACACACGGCUAUCACAUUGGCUUGUGGAUUGGCCUUGUAUCCCCUACAACUUUAAAUUUUCAAAACAAAAUGCCCAGGUAUUUUCACAUGGGCAGAGACACGGGCGUGUAUCUCAGCCGUGUGUGACACAUGGCCUAGCACGUGGGCAUGUGGCUUGGCCAUGUGAUCCAAGUCAGAGAGUUACACGGGCUGGGACACAGUCAUGUGUCCCUACUUCAACGCCCUCACGGCCUGAGACAUGGGCGUGUCUCUUGACCGUGUGAGCCACAUGACCUGGACACAUGGGCGUGUAUGUCCUAUGUUUCUUUGAAAAUUUUUGAUGUUUUUGGAAAAAUUUCUAGAAUACCCGGUUUAGUCCCGAUUUGUUUUUAACACAUAUUUUGGGCCUUGAAGGCUCAUAAAAGGGACAAUUUGAUUAAUUUAUUACAUGUAUGCUAAAUGAUUUGAAAUGUUCGUAUUUGAUCUGUUAAGUUCAGUAAUAAUCCAUAACGGGGAGGGAUAAGGGUUAAGGGUGUUACAAUAACCAUAUUCUAACCUCACAAUAACAUAUUCACGCUUAAUAUACUCUCACGUACGACUACAUUAAACUCAUUUUCAAAUAACUCAUUUUACAAUAAUUCACAAGUCUAGCUUAUAUAUUCACAUGCAUUCACAAGUUAAAUGAAAACGACCCAAACUACAAUUACAUACACAAUUUACCAUGAGAAACGAGUUUUUGGUUGAAAACUAGAAAAACCCACAAACUUGAGAAAUGACAAAAUCAAUGUGUUUUGGGUGUUUUUCUUGAAAUUCUAUGGAGAUUUAUGGCUUCGAUGAUAAUAGAAAUUAAAAAAUGAAGUUUGUAAAAUAAAAUUGAGAGGGAGAAGCUUGGGAAGAACAAGGGACGGCAACAAAAAUAUGGAGAAAAACUAACUAUAAAGAUGGAGGGGAAAAAUAUGGUAUUUAUAAAACUUUGAUAAAUUUGCUUUUUAAUUACUCUUAAAUUACAUUUUUACAAAAUGGUCCUUAUUUUAACAUUGAAAGUCUUUUCAAAUGUGUGACACCUAAAACAAAAUGAAUCUUACAUCAAGAUUUUAAUAAAAUUAUACUUUUAAAAUAUACAAAGUUUAACAUAUACGCAAGCACAAUAUGUACAUUUCUUUUCUCUGUUUACUUUGUUGGUUUUUGGGGCAAAACAGAGAAUAUCUCAAUCGGACGAUAGAAUAUAGAAAUCUCAUAUGAUUUAAUAUAUUUGACAAGUCGCACUAUACAUCAAUCUAAAUUGUAUUUUUCUCUCCGAAUUUCGAAAAAGAACUUUUAUAACAACAUUUUACUUCAGAUGAAUGUAAAAUAUCAUAAAAACAAUGUUUAUCCAUGAGCAAAUAAAGCAUGCAUUUCUUGGGUUUAUAGCCAAUUGGAUGAGGGUGGAAAAAAUUUAUGCCCUUUAAUGGAAACUUUGGGUGAACAACAUGGUUGAAAUUGAUAUAAUAAAGUUGUCAACGAAUUGUUGAUGGUGGUCUAAAAAAAACUCUAAUUAAAAGCUUUAUUUUUCCAGUACAUAUCUUCAAUUAAAACUAAUCUCAGAAACUCUCCUUUAUUUUAUUUUUUUACAUAAAUUUAAUUAAAACAAAAUAAAAUGAAAAAUUUCAAUUUAAAGAAAAAAUUCAUAAAUCAAUUUUAUCAAACAAAAACUAAUAAUAUUUUUAUUCGAUAAACAUAAGUACGAGUUAAUAUCUAAGAUAAUUUUAUUGAAAAAUAUAUCCUAAUGAAAAACUAAUAAUAAUAUAAAUAGUAAAAUCUAAUCUAAGUUGAUGGUGCCGCAGACAAUUCAAUCUAAGUUGAUGGUGGUGUUGCAGCUGAUUUUUUAGAACAGUAUUCCUUGAAUUUGGAAGUCACAUCACGCCAGGCAACAAAUAUUACUUCUUUAAAGCAAUAAUCUGGAACUGCCAUAAACCCAGAACAACAUUUUAUUGGAAAUAAAAUCUUGUGAAAAUUAAAAGAUUUUAACAUAUCGUCAAAGCAUUUGUCAUCAACAUAUUUAUCCAUGUACUGAUUGCACUUAUCUUCUCUUGGAUUCCCCGUUGGUGACUCUUUCGGCGGCGGCUUUGUAUCAUCUGGUGGUGGUGAGCUAAAAAAUGGUGGAAAAUUUAACAAUGGUUGUAAAAUUUGGUCUAUUAACCAUAAACAAGGGAGCCGUGGCGAAAAAUUAUUAGGUUGUUCAGUUGAAUGAUAAUCAUUAAUAGAAAAUCCUUGACCGAACAAUAUGGCUAAGAAAGACAAAAUAAAUAACGAAGCUAACAAGACACCAUUCAUAUCGAUGAAACUUCAAAAAGCUUAAUAAAAUUGAAAGAAAAGAAAAUAGAAUAUAAUUUUGUAAUGCAUAUAGCUAAUAGAAUAAGCAUAUAUUUAUAGCAAAAAAAAUUAUCUUAUUUUUAAAAUAAUUAUAUAAUAGAUGAGAUAUAUAACAACUUUAUCAAUUGAUUGUAAAUAAAAACUAAUUUUUGAAAUCAAAUAAUUCAAUGCAAAUCUUAACCUUUGUGAUCUAUUAUCAACAAUUUUUAAAAAAAAAAUUGAAAAUUUAUAUUUCUAAAUUAAAUAUUUUUUCUAGUAAUUGAAUAAAAUUUAUUAAUAUCAUAUGUGUGAAUACCUUAAAAGGAAGAAUUUGUUUACCAUUAUUUAUGUUUGUUGGCUAGUUGUAAGAGUUACUUAUCAUUUCUUGAUGUCAUCGUAGCUAUAAUAUUUUUCCAUUUAAAUUUUUUUCUCUUUGUGAUUGUUAAUCUAUAUUAAAAUUUUACUUUUUUUUAAAACAAAUAAAACUUUCAAGAAAUUAAAAAAAUAGUAAAUCAAAUAUGUAAAUAGAUAAAACGAUAUAAUGAAAAGUUUUGAAUUUAAUUUCAUUUAGCAAUUCAAAAAUAAAUAAUGUUCUCUCAUUUCGAGUUUAUUAGAUUUAGGUAACAACCAUUAUCAAUUAUUCAUUAUUAUUCAAAAUUAAGAAUAGAAUAAAUAUUUUGAUUAAAAAUAAUUUUGUAUCCUCACUUCAAAAAGAUUUUAAAUGAUUAACUUAAUUUGUUCAUAAUUAGUCAAAAUAUUUAGUCAAAUAAUGAUAUUUUGAAGAGUUUGAGCAUGAUUUACUCAACUUGUUUAAAGAAAUAUUGCAAUCAAAGUAGUUAAAAGUGAAAAAUAUCUCUUUUAUUUUGUGCUAUAACAAAGGUUUUAAUUGAAACGAAAUUCAAGUGAUUUAUGUUAAUCAUGUUAACUUGGAUUCACAAAUUUACAAAAAACUAUAUAUUGGAAUAUUUUAUUUUAUUUUAUUUUCAGUGUGCAAAUUAGAGAGUUUCAAUUUAGUUUGAAAGAAACAUUUAUAAGUGUUUUUAUGUGGUAAAUAAUCAUUGUGAAAAGAUUUAGUGAAAAAGUUGGAUAUAGAUAAUUGUAUAACAGUGGAAGAAAAGACAGGUUGAUUCUCCAAUAUAUUAUGUCAAUUAUUGACCAUAAUGAAAGCAACGGUAGGUUGUGAAUUCUGAGUUUUGAACAAAAUACAUAUGAUUACUUGGAAUAUCUGUGAGGCAAAGAAACUAGUGAAAAGAAGAUUUCUGACGAAGAUGAUCUAGAAGGCUAGGUGUUGAUGGCCAAGUAAAUAGGUCGAGAAGGUAUGGAUGGCCAAAUGACGUUUUUUACUUUGUUUUUUUUUUCUCCUUUUGUCAGUAUCUCAAGAAAGAUAAUUGUUAUAUUGGGCAAAUCAAAGUUUGGGAUUAUGUGCAGUGAGGUAGGUAGAAAUUUGAUUCUUCAAAAAAAAAUGAUGUUAUUGUGAUUUUUAAGUGUAUGAUGGCAUACAUUUAUACACUAUGUGUCUUAAAACAAUAGAAGUGUUUAUGGGCGAAGAUUAUCACUUUGGUGCUUCGAUGGAUAGUGGCUUGGUGUGUGGGGGAUUUUGUUGCUAGGUAGAGAAGAAACAAAAAAAGAAAAAGAAAAACUUUGGAGAGGAAAACUUAAAGGAUGAAAGAAAUGAAUUAACAAACUUUGAAUGUAUUUUAAAAUGCCAUAUAAUAGAAUAGCUUGGAAUGUAUUAGAAACGUUAAGAGCAAGUGUAAUUCUAGUGCAAGAAAAUUACAUUUACAUCUUAACUAUUGAAAAUAUUAUUUUCGUAACCAUUUUUUAAAAAACGGGAAUCGACUUGAAUUUUGAAAAUGAAAACGAAAAACUGGAGUCACCACCAAUCCUUUUUUUGAUGAGGUGUGAUCGGGUCACCUCAUAAAAAGUGGUUGUUUUUAAUAAAUGGUUUGAUUUAUUUAAACAACGAUUUUGGUCCACGCAAAUUAAGAAAACAGGUUCGGGAGUCGAUUACGCACGAGGAAGGAUUAGCACCCUCGAUACACCCAAAAUUGGUACCUAGUUGAUUAAUUAGUGUCUUAAUGUCGAAGAUUUGAAAACUUGAAAGAAUUUAAAAUACGAUCCCUCUUCGAAUUAAUGCUAAAAAAUGAUCGAAUAAGUUAAAACGGAGGUUAAGGACUCUCUCAUCUCGAAGUAAUAAAACGUCACGUCUAGUAAGUUAGGACACGACAUGACGAACUUUGAGAAUGAGCUUGUCUAUAUUUGAAAUUCAUGUAUUUUGACCCCUUUUUUAAAAGGGUAUUCGACUAUUUAGUAUAAACGAGAAAAAUCGAAACCGAGUAAGUUAGGACACGAUAUCUCGAAUUUCUAAAUGCCGAAUAUUGCCUUUGUUAACAAAAAUCUUAUCCCGAGGUAACAAAAUGUUAUACCCGGUAAGUUAGGGCACAACACCUCGUAACUCCGAAAGUAAGUAUUUAUUUCUAAACUCGUAUUGUGAUUUAAAAGAAUAUUCCGUUAUUUAGGUUAGAUGAGAAAAAUCGAAACCCAGUAAGUUAGGGCACGAUUGUUUCGAAUUACCAAAUACGGAAUAUUACUUUUAUGAAAGAAUUAUUUUGGGUUGGGUAAAAGUUAGUAUAACAUAAGUUGUAAUAAAAUGGGAUAAUAAAGAAUGCAUAGGCAAAUACAAAUUUUGAUAUUGAUAGGCAUAACAGAAUAAACAUAGAUGCGGAUGUGAAGGAUAAUGAUAAGAGCAAAAAUGAAUAAAACGAAUAAAAAAGAAAUAACGAAUAAGCUAGUAAAUAUUCGAAAUUAAAAGGAACUAAUCAUAAAUAAACAAUCAUUAUGUAAAACUAAAAAUGAUAGUAUAGCAAUGAUAAUAAUAAUAUUAAUAGUAAUAAUACAAGUAAUAAGUAUUUUAAGGUUUGGAAUGAUGUAUGAAAAGGUAUAUAUGUAUGUGUAUAUAUGAAUAAAUAAAUAAUAUAUAAUAUGAGUGAGAAAUAAAAAACAAAAUAAAUGUAUUUAAAGAGUAAUGGGUAAAAUAUAAUAAUAAUAAUAUAAUAGUAGUAAUAAUAAUAAGGUAAUAAAUAAUAACGGUAAUAGUAAUAAUAAUAUAUAUAAGUAAUAAUAUAAAUGGAUACAUAGAGAAUAUAUAUAAUAACAUAAUAAUAGCUAUGUAAAAUUAAUUAAUCUAAUAACAUGAUGAUAAUACUAGUAAUAAUAAUAAGGUGGAAAACAAUAAUAAUAAUAAAUUAGUAAGAAGAAAAACAAUAUAUUUGUAAUAACAAUAAAUAAUAAUAAUAAUAAGUUAAAUUAAUUGAUAAUGAAGUAAUAAGUAAAUAAAUAUAAAAAAGAAAGUAUAUAAUAUAAUAUUUAUAUGAAAUUAUUUAGUUUAAUAAUAAGAUGAUAAUAAUAGGGAUAAUAUUAAAAUAAAGGUAAUAACAAUAUGUUAAGUCAUAAUAAUAAUAGUAAUAAUAUUUAAAAUAUAUGUAUAUAUAAAAACAGUGGUAAAAGGAUAUGUAUAUAUAUAAUAAUAAUAAUGAUGGAUAUAAUAAUAAAAAUGGCAUUAGAAUAAAAUAAAUAUAAGUAUAAAUAUAAUGAUAACAAUAAUAACAAUACAUUAAUAAAAAUAACAAGAACAUGUUAGUAAUAACAAAUUAAUGAAUUAAUAAUAAAAUGAAUAAAUGAAUACACAUGAAAAAAAAUCAUAAUAAUAGUAUUAGCAAACUACUACUAAUAAUAAUAAUAAUAAUAAUAAGCUUAAUAAAAAAUGAUACAAUGAUUACAUUAAUAUUAAAAAUAAUUAAUUUAAUGUUGAAGGCAUGAAAAUGAACAAAAAAAGGACUAAAAAUCGAAACAAAACAUAGUUCUGGGGCCAAAUUAAAAAAUAAAAAUAAGGGAAAGGACCCAUUUGGAGUGCGCGAAUAACAUGGGGGACUAAAAAGGAAAUUUUUCCUUCUCCCAAAACGCUGCGCUUUAAUCAGGACCAAAAUGUAAACGAAAUAAAAUUAAAUGGGUGAAUUUAAAAGCAUAAUAAGUUUAAUUGUAAAAUGAUAAAAAAGCGGAAGGGCCAAAAGCGCAAAUAACCCCUCCGCUUCAAAACACGCGGAUCCCAAGGUAAGACGGGUCGGGUCUUCAGGUCGGCGCCUAAACGGCGCCGUUUCAGCAUUUUAAAGAGGCUGGGCAAAACGGUGCGUUUUGCCAGCCUAUAUAAGCCAUAUUUUUUUUAUUUCACCUUCUCCUUUUAAAAAAAAAACAAAAAAAACCUUCAAAUCCUCUCCCCCUUUUCUCUCUGCCAACCCAGAAUCCGGCGAGGAGUAGACCGGUCGCAGUCGUGCCGUCCACCGUGCCGGCCACCGUGAAUCGGAAAAUGGUAAAAAUUUGAUUUUUUUUUUAUUUUCUAAAAUGUAUUUAUAAUAUGUGUGUAUGAGGGUAAAUAGAUUAAGAAAAAAAGAAAAAGAAAGAAAACAACGAUAAUGGUCAAAUGAAAUCAUCUUGGGCUAUUUAGAUUUUUUCUCUGUUUAGGCUAUUUUCUGCUUUUGAUAUUGUUGUGGUCUCCGUUCUUGCUCAUAGGUUUAAAAUCUAAUGUUGCUUUUAUUUUUACCAAUGGCCAAUCGAUACAAUGGUUUCUGCUUGGCUUUUUAUAGCCAUUAAAUGCCUCUCCUUUCUACUUUCUGUCCCUUCUCUAUUUAAUAUUUGCAGGUAGUGGAGCAAGUAGGUGGCUGACGUGACAGUGGCGGUGGAGCAGAGGCGAUGGCCAAAUUCUGACAUGGGGCGGCAGCAGUUGAUUAGGCUAGGGUUUUUAGUUCCCCCUUUUUUUGUUUUGUGUAUUGGGCUUGGGUUCUUUUAGGCUUAAGGCAUUUAGUUGGGUAUUAAUUUGGGCCAGCAAAUUGGACUUGUACAAUUAUAACUUGAUUAAAAUUAGUAUAUGACCGAACAUAUAUUUAUACUAGUGAACAUUAUUAAACUAUAUCUUAAGCCUCAAUCAUUUUUAUCAAUAUCAUAUUUUUAUCCAAAACAUAUAAUUUUCUAGUCUUAAAAGGACAAAAAAAAGGUAUUUAGUAGAAAAAUCAAUUGAACUUUUUAAAUCAAGUAGGUUUCUCUAAACGAUUUGACGGACGAUAGUCACAAAAAAAAAAAACGAUGCAUGCGACGUGGAAGAAUGACAUGCCAUGUCCGCUGGUUAUUCCUUACUUGUAUCUCGAUAUUGUGCUUGCUUUCUUUGGUUGGUACAGUUUCUUUGUUUCUAAGCAGCUUUUUUCAUUGUCGCUUUUUUAUGUGUUGCAAAUUCUUUAUUCGGACAUUUUUUGUGCACCUAGUCUAUGUUUUACAAUAUGUGUUGAGCUUUUUUAUUUGAUAAUGUUUUUUAAGCUGGUUUGGUUAUCGCCAAACUGGUUUUAAGAAAAUUGCAUUGUUUUUAUUAAUUGCAAUAAAAUAUAAAGGACAUGCAUGAUAAAAUAUUAUCUUUUUUCUUUCAACCUAAGCUAAAUGAUAAAUGAUAAAAUUUGACUACGGCUGAAUAAGAGAGCUUCCACUCCGAAUAAGUUCAUGGGCUAAAAUCUGGUUUGCCGCCUCUGUAGGAUGAAAGCUAUCCCAGAAAACAUAUUGAGAUGCAUUGGAGCAUGUUCCAAUGGAGUGUUGAUUGCAUAGUAUUGACGUUUCCAGCAAUCCAGUCCCACAACAAGCUCUUCUUACCUCUGCAAAACCUGUUUUCAUAUGCUUAAAUUAUUAGUGCUUUCUCGCCUAGAAGUGAAGCUUUACUCAUGCUACCAGAUUUUUGAAAUAAUAUAGAGUAAGUAUUUAAGAUAUAUAAUAACAUCUUUACCAUUCUCAGCAGGCUCUGUGAUAAGGGUGUAAAGAGGAUUGUAGAUGUCUAAGACAACCAACUUAAGCUUAGAAAGCCUUCUUGUUAACCUUUGAGACCUGUGCUUGAGCUUGUUGUUAAAUGAAAUCGCAUUGUUAUUUAACCUGGCCACACACUGAUUGUUUCCAUGCCCAAAAGCUGUGAUUGCUGCUGGUAAGCACCCAAGUGGUGGCAAAGUUGUGACUCCAAUUCUCCUUGCUCCAAGCUCGUACAGAUUCUGUGACAAACUUCAUCUAUUAAUAGAAAACCAUGAAAUUGUAUUGUUUUUUAUUUAAGAAAAAAAUGCUAGGGAAAACCUGAAUGAAAUGAUCAUAUGAGUUAAGGAGAAUAUCUGAGAAUGUGUCUGGAGUAUAGGUGGUAAAUAAUAAAGGAUUAAUGUAAUAGUUUUGAAGAAAGUCACUGCUCCCAGCACUAAUAAGAUGGAUUCCACGAGAUAUUCUGGAAGAAGCAUUAAAUUUUCCCGUAAUAUCCACCAACUUAUUUUUGUACUCUCUGUAGUUCUCCAACUGUUGACUCAGAGAGAUGGUAUUCUGUAACAAGAAAUAAAUAUUUAAAAGCCCGUAGGGAAAUAGAGAAAUAAAGACAAGUUUUUGUUUCAUUUUUACUUACAUAUAAAAUUGCUGUAGCAUUAUAAUAACCGGAAGCAGCUGAUGCAAAAUUGGCUCCAAUCAACAACAUUUCCCCGUUAGCCUUGUCACUCAUGUAAGCGAGCUGAUAGUCAGUGAAGCCAAUUUGCUCAGCUGUGUUUUUAAAACCAAAAAGAAAAAGAAAAACCAUUAGUUAAAUAAAUAUUUAUAUAUAAACAAUAUAAAUAAAUAAAUAAAAAGUUUAUUGAAUUAACCAAUGAUAUCUAAAGCUAAUUUCCCGUUGCAAAAUCGUCCUGUUGGUUCAUGGUCAACAAAAUCCCUCCCAUAAGGAGGGAAGUUAGCUUUUAUUAGGGUGACAAGAUCAUUGUUGUUUCCUACGUCAAAAAUGGAGUCUCCAAAUAUGAAUAAAGCAGGAACAAAUUGACCCUUAACCUCAAGUAGCAGAAAGGUAAGAAAAAUAAACGGAGCUAGAAACUUCAUUUUUGACGAUAAGUGAGAGAGAAGUAGGUUGGCUUAGAAUAGCUUGGAAAUGGCUCACAAACAGUAAGUGAGAUAUAGUUUGAAUGCUUAGAAGAAUGUUUGUUUGUUGGUGGCAUCUACUUUGAUUUAUAAAUUCCUUUCAUUAGCUUUUUAUAAUCACACUUAUUAUAUUUUUCACCUACUUAAAAACAUUAUUUUACAUGUUUCACCUAACCAAAACAUGUAAAUUAUAAUGAAAUUUUGAAUACUUAAUAAUUUUAAAUAUAAUACUAUUUUCAUUAAUUUAUAAUCAUAAUAUUUUUCUUUUCACCUAUUUAAAAAUAUUAUUAUUUCAUUGUUUCACGCCAUAAAUUUUGUUAAUAUAUAAAUUAUAACAUUAAUUUUCUUGAACAAACAAUGUGAUUAAGAAAAACAAAAACACAAAAUAAAACCAUCAUGACACUGAAAACUUUGAAAAGUUAAACCACAAUGAAAUUGUAAUUUCGCAAUGCAUAUAAUUAAAAAAAUUCUAUAUAAAUAUAAAAACAAUAUGUAAUUACAUUAAGAAGGUUACCAAUAUGUAAUAAUGAAAUAUUAAAGUUUAAAUAAAUAAAAAUUCAAAAUUAUUAAGAAAAAAUAAAAUUAAUAAAUAUUUUAAUUAUAAUAAAAAUCAUUAACUAAUUAGUUACAAAGGACAUUAUGGAUGAUGAUAAUCACCUGAAUCAUUUGUAAAAAUAAAUAAAUAAAUAACAUAAAUCUACUAAAAUAUUACAAAUUAGCCGAUCGUUGAGCAAUCAGUAGGCUUAAACGACACCGUACGCUUUUCAUGAUCAUAUCCAAUAAUCAAGAAAUUAAUCUGCGCCAAGUUUCCAUAAAUUGCAAAAUCUUCAACAGAAGAGAAGCUGAAGCACCUAACAGUGUCUGAAAGCGUAACAAAGGUGUUCAAUGGCUUCAACUUAACAUCGGCAUCAGUGAAAUGCACUAUAACAUCGGGAAUUUCGAUGUCGUUUCGAGCAUCAUAGCAUAACUCCUUAAAUUCAAAUUAGCAGUACCUAAAUCCACUCAAUCUAAUGCGUUUUUGGUACAUUUUUUAUAAUCCAAUCUUUACACUUUAAACCAUUACUCCAAUAAUGUAUCUCUAAUUAAAUGCACUUCAUUACACUAAGUUACAAUUUUUUAAUAAUUUGAUUAAUCUUUUUUAAUAAAACAGAAAAUAUCUCAAUUGGAUAAGAAUAAAGAAAUUCCAUUUAAUCAAUAUACUUGACAAGUCACAUUAUACAUCAAUCUAAAUUACAUCUUUUUCUCUAUAUUUCAAAAAAGAACUUUCACAACAACAUUUUACUCCGUGAUUUAUUAAUAAGAGAAUAACGUAAAAUAUCAUAAAAACAAUGUUUAUCCAAUAGCAAGCACCCUUUUGUAAUGGAAACUUUGGGUGAACAACAUUGUUGAAAUUAAUAAAAACAAAUAAUAAAGUUUGUUAUUUUUUUACAUAAAUUUAAUUAAAACAAAAUAAUAAUAAAAUUUCAAUUUAAAGCAAAAAAUUCAUAAAUCAAUUUUAUUAAACAAAAAUUAAUAAGUUCUUUUUAUUCUACAAGCAUAACUAAGAGUUAAUAUCUAAGAUAAUUUUAUUGAAACAUAUACCCUAAUUAAAAACUAAUAAUAACAUAUAAAUAGUAAAAUCUAAGUUAAUGGUGUUGCAGCUAAUUUUUUAGAGCAAUACCCUUGAAUUUGGAAGUUACAUCAUGCCAGGCAACAAAUAUUACUUCUUUAAAGCAAUAAUCUGGAAUUGCUAUAAACCGAUAACAACAUUUUGUUGGAAAUAAAUCUUGUGAAAAUUAAAAGAUUUUAACAUAUCAUCAAAGCAUUUGUCAUCAACAUAUUUAUUCAUGUACUAAUUGCACUUAUCUUCUCUUGAAUUCCCUGUUGGUGACUCUUCUAGCGGCGGCUCUGUAUCAUCUAGGGGUGGUGAGCUAAAAAAUGGUGGAAAAUUUAACAAUAGUUACAAAAUUUAGUCUAUUAAUCAUAGACAAGGGAAUUAUGGCGAAAAAUUAUUAAGUUGUUCAGUUGGACGAUAAUCAUUAAUAAAAAAUCAUUAAUCAAACAAUAUGGCUGAGAAAGACAAAAUAAAAAAUAAAGUUAACAAAACACUAUUCAUAUCUAUGAAACUUUAAAAAGAUUAAUGAAAUUGAAAGAAAGUAAAUAGAAUAUAAUUUUGUAAUGCAUAUAACCAAUAGAAUAAGUAGAUAUUUAUAGCAAAAAAUUUAUCUUAUUUUUAAAAUAAUUAUACAGUAGAUGAGAUAUAUAACAACUUUAUCAAUUGAUUUAAAUAAAAAUUAAUUUUUGAAAUGAAAUAAUUCAAUGCAAAUCUUAACCUUUGUGAUCUAUUAUCAACAAUUUUUUAAAAAAUUUUGAAAAAUUAUAUUUAUAAAUUAAAUAAAAAAAUUUUCCCCUAAUAAUUGAAUAAAAUUUAUUAAUAUCGUAUGGGUGAAUACCUUAAAAGGAAGAAUCUGUUCAAAUAAGGCAAAGGCAAGAGAGACCAAGGAUAACAAAAACAUUGGCUGCCAUUGUUGUACGGUGAUUGAGAUUAAGAAAAUUUCUGGUUUGAAUUACUUAUUUGAUAGGGUUGAAAGGGUAGUUGAAUCAGCACAAAACAAAUCAAAUUCCAAUAUUUAAAGAGUAAUUAAUGGUGAAAUAAGGACCAAAAAAUACAGUGAAUUUCUAUUUUUUUAAUUGAAUCUCUUGAGAUUCUUCGAACCAUAUGGCCUCCUUAAAUUGCAAUUAUAGUGAGCAUGGGAAAGUAUAAUUUAUAUAUAUUUGCGUUGAUGCUGUUGAAUUUAUGUGGAAUUAUUUAUAGUGAUAUUGAUUAUGUUAAGAAUUUGAACAAUCCUGCCUAUUGAUAAACUAAACAUGUUAACUGAUAAUUAAUAUCUAAGUAUUUUAAUAGUUUUGAUUAAAUUUUAAUUCAAUUUUAAUUUAAUUAUUUAUAGUGUUAAUUAAUAUUGUUGUCAAUAAAAGAUAAUGUGGAUUUAAAUGCGUUGAAUUAACGAAAAUUUAACAUGUAUUCCGUUUUUUGCAGAGUUGGCGUCCAUAGAGAAUGCUCUUCCAGCAUCAUGAGUCAGAUCUCUUGGCAACUAUAUUGAAAAAAUGAAUCAGAUCUUUUACAGUAUUUCCACAGUAAAGUACUGUGUGUGAGUUUUGUGGGCUUUGUAAGCACAAACAGAAUCUCAUUCAGCAGAUCAGCUCUUCUAAUAUCUAAUCCCCCUUGAACAGAGUUUAUCCUAAUUAUACAUGUGCAAUUUCUUAAUGUUUUGAUCAUGACCCCACUGGAUAACAGGAUAGCACAUAGAACGAAAUAGAGGAAAGAACUGAUUUAAUAAGUGUGUACCCCCCACCAAGAGAUAGACAAUCUCAAGCUUAGACAGCAUCUUAUCAAUCAUUGAUCGGAAAAACCUCUGAUCAUUCACGCAUCUAAUCUGAAUACCUAAAUACUUUCCAGGCAGCCAAAAUGCUCGACACCCAUCGUUUCUUAUUGCUCCGUCCGGCAAGUCGUAAAAAACAAUUCAGAUUUAUUAGUGCUGAAAAGAAAAUACGAACAUCUGCAAAUAACAAAUGUGACGCAACAGACACUCUUGAUAACAUCAGAUUCUCCCUCAUUAAUGCUACAAUUUGUCUCUUCUUACCUAUACUUAAUUCCCACAUUAAUUCAACCCUUUUUCCUUAUUCGUUUAGCUUUUCUCAUAUUCAGUUUAUAUCUUUUGACAUUUUCCUACAUAUUUCAUACAAAAUUCACAUUCACUAUUCAAAAUUCAAUCUACUUUUGACUUCUCUUCAGUUUAUUUUUGCCAUAAAAAGAUCCGUAAUUUCAAUGGCUACCAAACAGAUUAAUAUUCUAACCAUUUUUCUGUUGUUUUUCUCACUCUUUCUUCUUAACCUUCCUGGAACCAAUGAAGCCGUAUACAGAAUCCAUGAUUUAAGCCUGGGAAACAAACAGAAAGAUAGUAAAAUUAUGAACUUUAACCAAGCUUCCAUGACUCAUCUCUUCGCCAAAGGUUUCCCCCUCCCUCCUUCAGCUCCAUCGAGAAGACACAAUGAUGCCUCCCAUGGUUCAGUUGCAUGGUCUAAAAGUUUAGCCCCUAUGACUGCAUAAACAAAUCAAGUUGACUGCUUUGAAGCUUGUUCAAGGUUUUUUAAGUAGCUUUUUUGUGUUAUUGGGAAUUACAACACAUGUUUAUCUGUAGUUCAUGUUUUUUGUUCCCUUGUUUUUAGUUUACUUUGCAAUAAGAAAAAGAAUUGCAAAUACCAGAUUUGAAGCCAAUGUUACUUAAAAAAACAACACUAUGUAUGCAUCAAUUAGAAAAGGAAUACAGGAUAUGCUUUUAUCAUUUUUCCUUUUUUGUUAAACCAAUUAAGGAUUUGUUUCUAUACAUAUGUGGACAUGCAUUAGGAAUUUUAAUGCAGUCAUUCUUUUUUAUUAUAUUUGUGUUAUUUAAUUUUUUUCGCAUUUAUUAGAUAACGAUGAAAGAUCAUUUAAUAAUUUAGAGUAAAAUAAAAUUAAGGGGUUGGCUAAAAAAACACCCCUAACAUAUUAAAAAAAACACCCUAAUUCUCCUUUUCCUUAUAAUUGAUUACAACAUUUCUCAUUUUAUUUGAUGAGUAUUGUAAACGGGCCAAUUUACCCGGCCCAUUAGAAACCCAAAAUAAAAUACAAAAUAAAUAAAUAAUAAAAAACCACAUAAUUAACAGUCCAUUAAAUGUCCUUUUACAAACAUGACCCAAAAACCAAUAACCAACCAAAGCCCAAAUUAAUACCUAAAACCAAAUUAACCCAAGACCCAAAAUACAAGCCCGAUAGGCCCUAAAAAUUAAAACUCUAGAACCCUAGGGUUCUCUCCUCGCGCCGCAGCCAAGAACCGGACAUCGCCUCCAGCAACCAUGCCAAGCCUCCAACACCACACGACCAGCACACAGCCCUUGCACGCUACGCCCGCGCCUCCGUACGAUGCCAACGCACUCCGUACCUGCGAAAGAAAACAAACAAAAGCAACAGUAGAGCAGUAGCAAAUAGGGAAUAAUGAAAAUUUUGUAUUUUGUUUUUCUUUCUUUUCGGCUAUAAAGGCCUCAAAAUUUCUUUGUAUUUUGGUUAUGAGCACAGGCGAUAUACGCACACCAAAAAAAAACACACAGAGAAUAGAAAAAAACAAGCAAUCAAAUAGCAGAGAUGAUUUCUUUUUUUCUCCGAAUCUCUUUAGUUUUCUAUGCAUCGUUUCGUUUUCUGUUUGGGUCAUUCGCUAUUGUUAUUUUGAAAAAAAAAUAAAAGAACGGUGACAGAGGAGCCUUACCGUGCAAGCAAGCCAUGGAUUUCUUCUCCCUUCUUCGUUGAAAUCGAAGUUAAGGAGGGAUUUCGGGCUAAGAUUCCUUCAGGCUCGAAGAGCCCUACAUGGUGAAGAUGAAUCGGCAUUUAGAAAAGGGGGUUAGGGAUUUGAAAAAUAAGCAGAAUGGGUGCUUGUUGGUUCUGUCGAUUUAGUCCAUAUAAAAGACUGGGAACGGCGCCGUUUUGACCAAUUUUAAUGGUCUUGAUACGAUGUAGUGUGGUGGCCUUCACCCGAUCACCCGACCCACGCCUGGUUAAGACCCGCGUGUUAGGUCAGGGAGGGAUAUUUUCACCUUAAGUCCUUUUGUUCGGCGUUGUGUUGUAAUUGAGUUUUAUCUGCUUUUUCCUUUGUUUUAAAUUUAUUCCUUUAAUUUACAAGUUAAGUCAAUUCGAUCCGCGCUUAAACGCAGCACUUUGGGAUCUGGUAUAUAACCAUUUUUAUUCCCUACGCAUCCGCGCGCGUUAAGCUUUAGUCCUUCUUCUAAUUUCAGUAACUUAUUGUAUUUAUUAAUUGUCCUUUUAGUUUUAUUUUUGUUUCAAUUUUCUUUUUAUUUAUUCAUUAUUUUCAGCAUGUUUUUGUUCUUUGAAACCCUUUUAUUUUUGAAAAUUUAC